GCAGCUUCAUUUCAUUCCUGAAGCAUCCUGAGCCCCUCAGUGCCUUGCUUCUGCGUAAACGCUGUAAACUGGACCAAAUGGGUUGAAAAUGGCCAGAAAUUGAUCUUGGUCACUUUAGAUAUUUUAUGACAAUUAAAAGAAAUCAUUUUCUGUCCAUUUAAAAUCCAUUUGGGCCAGUUUAAGCUAAUGGCGCAGGGCUGGAGCCUGAGAUCCAUAAGCCCAAGAAGAUGGCUGAAGAUGAUGCUGACUCAAGCCACUCAAGGAGCCAGAUUUCUCAGAUUCCAGAUUCACUCCUUCUUCGACCCUCAUCCUGGACCUGAGGUGACUGGAAGCCUUGAGAUGAGAUGAGAAAACUGGGGUUCAGAAAAGUCCCAUGACUUGUCCAAGGCCAUGAAGCUAGUUCACAGAGUGGCACAGAAUCAGCUAUGGAAGCACUUGAGAGAAUACAGAUAACAUUUGUGGCCUGGAGAGACAGCUACUAAGUGGCUUAAGAUCCAGCACCUCCAUGGAGUGAUGAGAGGAAAGGCCAUUUGAGGACACAGUGAGAAGAUGAUGAUUAUCUACAAGCCAGGAAAAGAAGCCUCUUCAGGAACCAAUCCUGACACAGAGUUUGACUUUUCAGCCUCUACAACUGUGAGACAAUGAGCGUGUUGUUUACAGCACGCAGUCUGUGAUAUCUUGUUAUGACAGACCAAGGAGUCUAAUCUAACUAUUCCUUAAUAUUGGGAACAUUACUUAGAAGCAAAUGAUCUAUGAAAAUGGUAAAGUCAUCUGUGUUUGCUAUUCUUAUUCCCCCUUUUACACCAUUGAGCAUUCAAAACGGUGAUAGACAACUUACACUAUAUGCCUGGGACUCAUUUCUCUUUAGCUUUUAGCAUUUGAUUUCUAACAUCAUGGUUAAGGUCUGAAAAAUCCUGUCUUGAUAAUACACUAUAGAGAGUUACAGACAUAGAGAAAGGCUACACUCCCAAAUUGCAGUCCCAAGAGGAUUCUAAGCUUGGGUAGUGCUGAUGGAGCACUCCCACCUGUGGUGCACCAUUGGUUUAAAGACUUUAUUUUUACUAUUCUUUAUAUUGCAGUUUGGAACUGAGUUGUAGAACAGAGUAUAUCUCAUUAUUCUCUCCAUUUGGUCUUUCUUCCCUCGCUAAUUCCAAAGUAUGCAAGCUAUAUGCUUUCUAGUUUUUUUUUCCUUUACAGACAUUAUCUAGGCACCAAAAACAGCGAUGGAAAGAGACAGAUUAAAUCCAAAGCACUAGUUUCCAUUACCUUAAGCUGCCUCAAUGAUUUUUCUGAUGGGGUGAAAUUUCUUGUACUUGGUCUUAGGCCCAAGAUAUAUGCAAUGCUUCAAUGAAAUUGCUUGCGACACAUUGAAGUAAGUGCCUGGGAACUAUGAGUUCGUCAAGUAUUAAAAGAAAAAAGACUCAAAACUUCUUGUACAGGCAGUGGACUGAAAAAUGGAUAGCUUUCAAAGUUUUACUUGCUAUAGAUAUCUACCCUCAUAUUGAGAGUGUUCUGUUCUGUGAAAAACACAAAGAUACAUAUUCAUAGGCCAUGUCAGAAAGCAUGUAUUCCACAAGCUUUGUGUCAAACCCUCCACAUUUUGGUGCCGGCCUCCCUCUCCAGUCUAAUCUCCUGUUACAGCCCCUACUUCAGUUUAGUUACUUAUUUAUUACUUUACAGUUCAGUUGUUGGCCACAUAGUAGGCCUUGUGUGUCCUUCCAGGCACCCAGGAGCUCCUAGCCUCAGAGGAGAACCUUUUAAAGUAUCUCAUGUGGUUAACAGCAUUGUAGAAGCUUGGUUCGCAUUGUCACACAUGAUGGGAUUCCAUUUAUGACAGCCUAAUAGAAGGAAUAAGGACCAGGGAUCAGGCUUCUGCAACACACAGUACUAUGUUAGAGCUCUCUUGUGUGGAGUUUGAGUAAUUCACUUCUUGCAACAUAUAUAAUAUGUUGUUUUAGCUUCUCCAUAGGGAAGAGUUUAUCAAACUCAAAGAAUAAGAUACAAUCAGCACUGAAUUUUCUCUCAGCAGUGAAUCUUUCUCCCUGAGCAAGAUGUUUGGUUCUUAUAACAAUGUUCAGAAAGUUAUGGAAAGUGCUGAUAGUCCAGCACACAUGUAUGCAAAGGUCUUACCUUUAAUCAUCUGGGAAUAGCAGGUUCCCAAGUUCUACUUGUUUCCCUUGAUGUCCCAGUUGACAGGUAGAUACUUGGUGUAAUGGAGAUGUGAAUACUCUAGAUGAGAAAAGAGAAAGGUGUGCUGAGGGCUGCUGAAUAUCAAAGGGACUUGAGAUGAUGGCUAUUUUGGCUUUGGCACUGUGCCCUGUUGGUAGUGCACUCCAUUCCUCCAGAGAUGUCCAAAGCGAGGUCAGGGAUGAGAUGUAAAGAUUAAGGGGAAGAAAGGCUGCUCCCCAAAUGGAGGCUUGGUGUUUGAAAAAGAAUGUUAUAAGGCCAAGAUAAGAUACCCAGACUCUAGUCCUAAAUCUGCCCUUGACUUAUGGUCUGACCUUGGGCAAGCCAUUUCUUAGUUUUGGAUCUCAGUUUCUUUGUAUAUUAAAAAAAUUGUUUGGAAGCCAGGUAUGGUUGUGGGGUGUGUAUACCUUGAAUUCCAGCAUUCAGGAGGCAAAGAGAGGUGGAUCUCUGAGUUGAGGCUAGUCUAUGUAGUGAAUUUCAGGCCAGUCAGGGAUACAUAGUGAGACCCUAUCUCAAAAAAAAAAAAAACAAGAGUGGUUUGAGACUGGGGAUGUUGCUCAGUUGGUAGUUUCCCAGCAACACAAAGUAUUAUGGUGCAUGCCUAUCUGUAAUCCUAGAUUUGGGGUAGUAUAGGUAAGCGAAUCUGACAUUCAAGGUAACCAUCAGCUACAUUGUCAGUUUGGGGACAGCCUGAGAUAUAUGAGACUAUCUUAGAAACAAAAAAGUUCAGUUUAUCUAUGGGGUGUCUUUUCACACUGACCUUAAGUAUUUUUGGUCCCUUGACUUCUCUAGAAAAGGAGCAAAUGCCAAGACUGUUAAGUAUAGACUGGAAGUUAUAAAAUAUGAAAAGAAUAAAAGAAAGAAAUUUAAAGCACACAACUGCAGAGUAUGUCAUGUUAUUAGUAUUCUACUCUGUGUAUUUCCUACAAUAAUAUUUUGUCCUAUAGUUCCUGGGGAACAACUGAAAUAUCUUGGGACAUGCAAUUUUCAUUGUUUCAGUUGUAGCUCCUAAAUUGCCUCAUUGAACCAGAAAAUACUUCAGCAAGUUUUUCAACAGGAACCAGUGUCAAAUUUUUGUUUCAGAAAAUAUGGUCACCACAACUCUGUAGCACUCACCUUAUGUUCCUUAGGGUGUUCUCAUACAUAUUAAGUUUUCCAACUAUGUAAGUAAUGGCCAGGGAAAUAGAAACUGAUUAAUAUAAUCUGUUGGGAUCACUUAUUACUCACACAUGACAUGUGUUUGGAAAUAUAGUAAUUCUUCAAGACAGAUAUUACAUGUAUUGUGAUACCAGUUGAGAGACCAGUUAGGUUCUCCUACAGUAACAUUCUGUUGCUAGAGGGCAAAAGAAACUGGGCAGCGGGAGAAAUUAGCAGUUAGAAGCAGGAAGGCAGAAGUUUCAAAUAUACGCUGUUUACAGCCUCUGCUGAUAGUGACUGGGAACCAGCAGUUUUGGAUUUAGGUAAAGGAACAUGUAAGCUAUGCCUGCCUGGAUGUCUGUCUCCAGCUCUCACCUCUCUCUUGGGUCAGAGAAGAAUUUUAAAAUGCUUGUUCUAGUUCUCAGUCUGACACCCGAACUGUAUUUCUCUUCUCCCCAAGACCUGUUCUUUUCCCUAAUUCACUGUUCUUGUUACUGGUGCUACUUUCAUCUUACCAAUCACUAAAAAUGAUAAAUAUGGCAUUUACAUUUUUUCAUUACCUUGGUAAAUCUAGUCAUUUGCUAAGUUGUGGUACUAUUGCUUCACGAUUUCAUCUCACAAAAGGCAACCUCUUUCAUAUUUCAUUUUCUCAUCUCAUAUGUGUGAGUAAUUCUUACCUGGUUCAUUUUCUCUAAACCUUAUCCACCCCAUUCAAUCAAAAUACAAACACACACAUAACUGUUAGCAUUUUUCCUUCUAGUUGUUAGGCUAAGUAUAUGGAGAGGUGAUCUACAGUGCUACAUACACAUUUUGCAUUGAAGAAAGGGAAGAAGGGAUUAUUUUCUCAAGAAUAUUUUGAGGCAAUUUCAGAAGUCCAUAGUGGCAUAAGGAAAUACUUGCUCCUAGUUAAGAAUUAUAUUUUAUCUUGAAACACUUUCACUGUAUGCUUUUCCUCUAAACUUGAUGUUCAAGCCAGCCUGACACUUGUAGUUCUCCCUGACCACAACAGGUUGGUAUUUUUCAUUUCCUUCUGUGUACGCUUAGAACUGCUGAAUGUGUUCUUGUUGCUUUUUACCCCGAAGCCUCAUCUGAUCUUUCCCACAGAUGUUGGGGAUUCAGGGAUUUCCCCAUAGGUUUGAGUGUCUCCUCCCUCAUUACUGGCCUUGGCCUCUUCCCAUAGCCAUGUUUCCAUCACUCACAUGGACUUGGCCACGUGGCAGCUUUGCUGAUGGGCUCUUCAGCCAUCUUCCACAAACCCAGGCCAAGAGGUGACAUUCAAUCUGUCCUCAGUGUAUACCUCCAUUCUGCCAAAGCUGUAAAACUGUCUGGGAUUAUAGUCCCAUCCAGUUAUGUGCAUGAGAAGGCACUUUCCAAAGACAUUGAUCAAUUCCCUAAUGACCUCAUGGCACAGCAGGUAGAGCUCCUGUGGUUUGCAGCAAGAAAGCCAGACUGUAGCAACAAGUCCUUCAGACUCUGCGCUCUGAAACUCUCUCGAGUCAUACGGCUUGAGAAGACCACUGGGUAUUUUGGAACUUGUCCCAAACACAAUUAAAUAUCCAGGCAAAAGGGAAAAGAACUGUUGGAAUACAAAUGGCCUAGCUCAAUGGGGGUUGGGAGUGACCCAUCCAACUGGUGAUCCCAUCCCAGCCACCACAGAUCUACCAUCUCUUCACUGGGCCUGCUGAAGUCAGCCUUGUCUGCAUCCAGGGGCAGCUCUAGUGGGCUUGCCCAGUAUCCCAGGCAUGUGCAACACUUCCACCUAACUCAAACCACAUGCAGAGGAUCAUGUCAUACUUGGCGCAUAACCAAUCGAGAAAGGCAUCAGAGGGUGUCCAGACCUCAGCUUGUUUGAACAAAUGUUCAAAAAACAUUUCUGAAGGGAUAUUCCAGAAAAACAUACUCACUCAAGGUCUUAAAACAGAUGUCCAGGCUCUAGGAUUGGGUUGCUUUGCAGCUACUAUUAUCAACUACAAUAAAGCAGGACCAGAUCAUUUUAGGCUUGAACUAGGGUGUAUGUUUAGCUUUCUUUUGCAUGUUUAUUGUUGGCCAUGAGAGGAUGUGUCAGAGGGCAGAACAUAAUGCCGAGAAGCAGCAAGCUAUUGUGAUUCACUCUCUGGCACCCGAGUCAAGCAGGCAAAGGCUUUGACCCCUGACUAGCUUGGUGUGUUAACCUAUCGUAGUCUUGCUUUGUUUAGCUACAAAGCUAAUGGCAACAUUGCUGACUUAUUACUUUUGUCAAGAGGACUAAAAAUAUAUUACAUAUAUAGUGUAUAACAUGGAUUAAGCACCCAGCCAGUACAGCACUGUUAUUAACACUAUCACCAACAGAGCCUGAAUAUUUAGUUUAGCUGCUACUUUUAUACUAUUAACACUACUGCUGCUGCUCUCUCUAGGACAGCUCCCCAAAUUACUUGGGGAGCUGAAGAGGGCCUCAGCUUUGUUCUUUAGUCUAUGGAGAAGGUAAGCAUACCAAGGAAGAAUACUGACAGACUUCUAGCUUAAAAAGAAGAGAAAGAGAGCAGGGCAGAGCUCUUGUAGUUUAUUUUCCUUAUCUCAGACCAAAGCCCUUCCAUCCUUCAUUAGUUUGCUAUGUAACCUAGCUCCAACCACUUUAGAUAAUUGUGUUUCACUACUUAGCCUUGAAAAUGAAACCCUGUGGCACUUGUUUGCAGACAAGCUGACCUGUAUCAGAGGCCUAGUCUUUGAAUGGAAUAUACAUGAGCAACUGGCUCAAAAGAGGCAAGGCACUAACUUCUUUUAAUGACUCUAAGCUACCCAGCUCACAAUCCAGAUGUAUGUUACAGCCAUCACCAUAAUCUUUGUUAGCUCCUGGCAAACAAUGACAUCCUGGUCUUACUGCUGGAAGGAAAACUUUCUAUACAGCUAUUAUUUGUAUUUCACUCUUUCAUUAAUACUUGCUGUGCCAUGAUAGCUAUUUUAUUUUACUUUGUGUUGGGGAUAUGAUCCCAGGGACAUGUAAAUGCUAGGCAAGUGCUCUAUCACUAAGCUACACCCCAAGAUGGAUCCAUAAUAACUCUUUAAGGAAGUUCAUCCAUCUAUUUAUUCAUCAACACCUCUCCCAACAUCCAUCCACCUGUCAUUCAACAGGUAUUUACUGAGCAAUGAUAACAUCCAAAACAUGGUUGUAGGUGCUAGAAAUAAGGCAGGGAACUGCUGUUAUGAAGUUUAGAAUCUAGCUUCCUAGUCUCGCCAAAUAUGGCAUACCAUGCAAAUUCACUGGAAAAACUUAAACUAGACUUUUGGAACCAAUUUUAGUCAGCCCUUUUCAACUGGACAUGUCUUUUAGGGUGCUUGGGUGGAGAGUGAGGAACUGUCUUGCAUCCAGCCUGAGAAAAAGGUUCUGAGGAUGGCCUGGGACAGGGCUUUAGUAACAAUGUGGCUGCAUUUUGAUUUCUAAGAUUAAUCUGGUUGAUACAAAUUGUAUACUUACUAUGCUGAAUGACUAAAUUUUGAACUGUGAGAAGAAAACCAUGUAAUUUUGUUAUUGUCUCACUCAUAAACUGGCUCAGAAGGCAGCUCUCAAAGCAGCUUUUCAAAAAUAUUCUGAAAAAUGGCAACAUAAGAACAUAUUCGCAAGGGGCUGCUUCAGACAGUUCAGUACAUAUCUGAGUGUACAAACCUUGGUCUAUUAAAAAUAUACAUUGCCAGUAGCUCAUUUAUACAAAACAGUAAAAAGAAAGAAUUGUAGAUCCAAAUUUUAAUUCAAUUAUUGAAAUAUUUAUGUAUUAUAUAUUUGGAUAUAUUACUGCCAUACAAUUAAUUCACUUUAAAAUCAUGAAAGAAAUUUUUCUUUGCAUUAGUUUUUUUCACCCAGUUCAUCCUUAGUCUUCUGUAUGUGAAUCUUUGAAGUGAACACCACAGCUAUUAAGUCAUUGUCUGUUUUUCUAUAUCAAAGUGAAUCUUCCCAUUACGUGAUAUGCCUACAGAAAUGCUACCUUCUGCUUUGAAGCCAUUGUAUGAUAAAAUUAACAUGUAAUUUUUUGCAGCAGAAUGUUAAAUCAGGAAUUGUAAACAAUUCCUAGGCAAUGUGUAUAAUGUUGGUAAGUCAUUCCUAGAAAUUGUUCACAAUGCCUGUAACAUAUAUGCAGCUAGCAAGAUACCUGAAAUACAUAGGAAGCCUUCAAGAAGCUAACUGCCAUUCCUAGGACAUCUGUGGAUCAUGAACUUUUUUGUAAUCAAUUCUACUUAUUUAUCUGUUAAAAUAAAUUACCUGAAAUACAUAGGAAGCCUUCAAGAAGCUAACUGCCAUUCCUAGGACAUCUGUGGAUCAUGAACUUUUUUGUAAUCAAUUCUAUUUAUUUAUCUGUUAAUUUAUCUAGAUGUUAAUAAUUCUGAUAAUAGUAGUACUACUUGAUUUUCAUAGCUCCCAAGGAUUUCUGCAAUUUUCCCAGUAAUUUGGUGAUACAGCAAGGUAUUGGACAUGCUUAUUUUAAGAGGCAUUAGAAAAAACAAUAAUUAGGAGUAAAGGCAAUUAUACUUGUCAGGUGAGCUAAGGCCCUGUCUAAACUUUCUUAUUGCUUUACAGAGCUUUAGGCAAAGCUUCAUUGCCUUUCUCCUAGCUCACUUCCAACCAGUUUUUGAUAUUCUAAUUCUUUUGGGCUUUCCCAAGUCAUGCCAAAAACUUAAUUAUUUUUAUCAAUCUUACUCUGUCAUGAAAGUUUCUUGCCUUUUCCUGUUCAGUUAUCUGCUAAUGGAACUUGAUAUUCACAUAAUGUAGUUGCUUAAUUUAUGUACUCAAUUCCUAUUUGUAUUUAUUCAUUUUCAUUUAGUGGUUUGAAAUGAUCUACCUAUUGGUUUAUAUCAGCAUGGUGUGGGUUAUAUCUAUGUAACUACUUUACAUCGAUUAGGUAUGAAAGUAAAAUGUUGAAUGAGUUUUGGCCUUGAGUGUUAUGAUCAUAUCAAGUCACUGAUUGGGAUUCUUUGCAUGUAUACAGUAAAAUGAAUUUGCUUGACUUCUAAUUGACUAGCAAAGAUGGACUAUCCUUGGAGCCCACUCAGAUGAAGUCAGGGAAUGAGAUGGCUAGAUCAAGGGAUAUCAAAAGAUUGGGCAAAGACUUUUGAUAAUUGAUCUCAGAAUCUAGUACUGGUGUCAAGGAAAUGACCAAUGUUGUGGGAUACAGCUGAGCAAUAUUUUAGAGUCAUACAAAUGGUCCUUUAAUUUGCUUAGAUGAUGACUCUCACCCAAAUCUAAUCCCCACUGUAUCCAGAUAUGACCCAUCUCUCAAGGCCCACCUCAACCUAGUGUGUUAAAGUCUAACUCGUUGUAUUGGUUCUCUCCUGUGUAUCUUCUUUGAAUGCCUCUAGACCUUUAAGGACAUUUUGUCUCUCAAACUGAAUUGCACUAAUCUAAUUAUGUACUGUGUAUAUUUCAUGGAUGCCUUACACUUACGGUGACCGUAUUUUCUAACCAAAAAUUAGAACAUAUCAUCUGAAAAUUUAGGUGGGUAUUUGAAAUGAGCAGUCCUCUGGAAAACACAUGUUUAUGCCCUUCUGUGUCUCUCACCUAUUAAACAGUCAGCAUUAACUAAGAUGUUAGGAAGACAAAGAAAGACAGAAGGUAACAUCUACCAAGUGGCAAGUAAAUGACACAGAUAUUUUUGGAGUAUCUAGUAUAGGCAGGAAUAGCUUAAGUGCUUUGUUACUGUGCCUUAGAAAUAAUGUAUUGGUUCUGAAAUAAACAAAAAUGUAAGAAAAGAAAAGGGAUAACCGGUAGUGAGACAUGCCAUAGAUGGAUUGUAUCAUACAAUCCAGCAUGUAAGAGAAGUCUCAAAAGAGGAGGCCCUGUGGUCAGAAUGACAAACAUAAAAGUUUUUCACUGAAGUUCUUAAAGGUACAAUUAAAUUUUUAAAACUAAAUUCUGGGAGGUUUUACAUAACACAUGAGAAAUAAAUUUAGGGAAAUUAUAAUGGUGAAGAAAUAGAGAAUACAGCUGAGAAUGCAGCUUGGAGAAGAGUUUAGCUUCAUUUAGGGGCUGAGUAGUAAGGUUUGCUCCUGACUCAUUAAUAGAGACUAGUAAAGUAAUCUUUUAUAGGAAAAACAAGCAUGUAAAGUUACCCACAUAAAACUUCUUGACUAACUUGGCGUUAUCUGUGUGUAGACUCCUCCAUGUUAAGUUCUGUAGAACAUCAAGAAAGAGACUGACUAGGAUUAGUAGAGCCAAGGGCUUUUGAAUAUGCAACUUUUAUGAAUUAGUAUGGUUUAUGUCUGUUGUGAGCCCAUGAAGACAGAGGGAAAAGUACUGCUUCUUUUUCUUGCAAUGGAAAGCCACUUAAUGUUGACUUGAUACUGCUUUUCCUCUAAGGUACCUAUCUUUUUCUGCCUCAUCUUCAUUUUUACUUUCUUCCAUUUUAUGUCUAGCUGAGACUGAAUUAAAGGACAGGACAUAAGCUAAUUGACAUUGUUGGUUCUGGCCAUGACAGUUUCUCUCAUCCAAGUACUGACCAGGCCCAUCCUGCUUAGCUUCCAAAAUCAAACAAGAUCGGCUGUAUUCAGGUAUUGUGUUUCCUAGUUCUCACAGGUAGACUUGUCUGUAACUCUGUGUACCUGUUAUUUUGGCUUUUUAGUGUGGGAUUCCAUUUUGAAUUGGUUUGUUGUUUGUGAAGUAUGGUAUCUAGCAGUAGACCAUUGAUAUCAAGUAUUGUCUUUCUCUCUCCCCGCCCUCCCUUCUUCUCUCUUAUUUUCUUUUGAGACAGACCUUAUAUGCAUUAGGCAGGCCUCUAAUUCCCUGAGUAACCAAUGCUGACUAUACUCCUGUUAUUUCUGCCUUUACCCCUCAGAUUUUGCCAAUGCUGGGAUUACAGGAGAUACUCCCAUGCCCAGCAUACGCAUUGUCUUAACAGCUUAGAAUAGAAUAUAAAUACUGGCUCACUAAUGAACAUUAUGCUUUUGUUCAUGCAAUCUAACUUUAUAUUUGUAUCUUGAAUGCUUCAUGUUUCAUCUUGAACUCAGAAUGAAAGACCUUGGCCUUAGUCUUCACAUUCUUUGGUGUUGCAAAGUGAAGCUUCCUGGUCCAAUCUUUUCACUCUUUAAACCACAUGUGAGGCCUGAUAUAUAGAACAAGAUUUUGGAAUUGUGUAGAAAUGUUUAAGGCCAAAAAAUCUCCCAAAUGCAAAGCCAUUUCUCAGGCUGUCUGACAAGCAAACAAUUGAUGGAACCUUUUUUUAGGUCUUUGAUAUUUUUUCCUACUUGCCACACCUCAUUCCUUAAUUUGAACCUUCAGAUGCAUUCUGGUUUUGCCAUAAUUACUUUGACUAAAAUCUUCUGACUCCAGUUUCUCUAUACCUCUCUGCUAUGAGCCUUGGGUUUCUUCCCUUCUGAACAUGUUCAAAACCAUGAAGCAGUUUACUGUUAUUCGUUUCCUCUCUGAAAAUGAAAAGGUAGCUGUGCCAGAUAAUGCCAAAUGAAUGGGAACAUUAGCUCCAGGGUGUAGGUAGAUUACUUACAGGGUUAGUAAGGAUGAGUAUGUUGGAGUUAGCCACUCCCAGGCUUUCACCAGAGGCUCAUCUAAUCGGAUAGCUCCUCAGGAGGGUGAGUCAGAAGGAAUUACUAUAGCAUGAUUGAGAAUUACUGAAAUCCUAAUGAAAGUUCAGCCGGGCAGAUCAGCUGAAGGGAACUGGUCUUUGCUGGCAUCCAAGGAAACUAGGGAUUUGACCAGGGUGAAGAACUUCUUGGCUAUGGAGGAAUGAGUAAGGGUUAACAAAGCCCUACACAUGGUUUUACCAAAAGACUAGCACUGUACAUAUGACAGGCCCAUUCUCUUCUAGUGUUCUCUGCCUGAGAGGCAAGGCAAGAUAAACACCUGAAUCUUUUGAGAUGGAUGUCUAAGUUCUGUUAUGACAUCUCUCAUACAGCAUAUCUAAUGAGUCAGAUUCUCUCUGCAAUUAUUUCAAGAUAUUACUUGGGAGCAAGACAAAAGAGUUACAGAGCCUGUUCUUCAUUCCUCUCUUCUUGGAACAGCCAUAUACCCUGUGUUCAUACUGUCCACCAUCUUCCAUCUGUUCCUCCAACACUCACCCUUACCCCUGUAACAGAGGGCAGGUUUGAAAGAUAUGUUCUUGAAGAAUAACAUCUUUCCCAGAAACCUCAUCGCAGAAACAAUUGGCCAGGUAGCCCGCCUCUGUCCAGUUUGUUGGAAGAAAUGCUGAGGUUUCCAGUAUUACUAUCCACUGGAGACUGGGCAGAACUGGGAAGUAGCUUUCCCUAGCAGAAGUAUUGCAUUAGGAAACACUUUGCUUGGAAGUUAAGGUGAGAAAUCAUCAGGCAAGAAAAUGGUAUGUUCUUAGGAUCCAAAACAACUAUAAAGUCACUUUUCCCAAAAGGUACAUUGCAUUAUUUCUUGGACUGUUGUAUUAUGGGGGUGGCAGUGGGAGGGGGUGGAGCUAGGAUGAGUAAGAGUUUUGGAACAUAAACCCCUACAGUUUUUCCAUUUUCUGUCUAGCUGAGAUGGAAUUAAGAAACAAAAAAUUAAACUACUUCAAGUAGCUCCCCCAGAAUAUUUUCAAUUCUAUUAUCUUUUAAAAUAAUCUAAUGAGAGUGUAUAUUUAACCUCUUCCUUCUGAAAACUUGAACUCCUUGCUUCACAGGAUGUGAUAAAUUCAAGUUCCAUGAGAUUAAAGGGAACUACAGAAUACUUAUCUGGUGUUCUACUUUCUUUCCUUCCUCUUAACAUACCCCUUUGUUGUUCAUUUUAUGUAAAGACAUCUUAGGAAUAUGACUAAUACUCAUAAAAGAAUGUAGAAGCCACUGAGUGAAGCUAUCUUAAGGGGGUUUGGAAGAGAGCGUAAUGGAAUACGUGUGAUUAAAAAUCAGAAUAGGCAAACCAUGUGGGGAAAGGAAGAGAGCCAGCCAGAGUGGGUAGAGUAGACGGGAAGGGGAAUAAGAACAAAGCAUAAUGCUACAUAGCAAAAACGCCAUAAUGAAGCCCAUUACUUUAUAUGCUAAGUGAAAAUUUAAUUUAGAAAGAAUGUAAAUGUUGACAACAAAGUACGUGAGUUUCAAAUAUUAGCUCAGCUCAGAUACUUAUUGUGACCAUGGAUAAUAUACUUAAUUUUCUUAUAGCUUAAUUUCCUUGAUUGUAGAGAUAAUAAGACCUAUCUUUUGAAGUUACUGGGUUAAUUAAAAGUGUGUCUUUUUGUCCCCCUUCAAAUAUAGACAUAUACAUAGGAUCGGCGCUUGGAUGCUCUGUUCUUAUUAGGUCUAUUUUGAUCAUUCAAGUUGGGCACAACUCUGUCUGAGGGAGAGGAAAUCGAAAAUAUGGUUUCUUGAAACCCCUUUCAAAUGAAUAAUUCUGGGUCUUUUAGAAAAACCCAGGUUGGGACUGACAGAUGGCUCAGGUGGGUAACAGUGCUUGAUACUAAGCCCGAUGACCUGAGUUCCAUCCUUAGGACCCAUAUGGUAGAAGGAAAGAACCAACUGCCACAUUAUGUCCUCUAACCCCCACACAUGUCUCCUCCCACAAAUCAAUAAGAAAAAUGAAAUGCUUUUGUAAUUAGAAAAAUCUAGGUUUUAUGUCUAAAUAUGUAUUUAAGAAGAAUUAUUUAGGGCUGAGGAUAUAUAAUUCUGUGCUAGAACACUUGGUAUUCACAAGGCCCUCUCAGUACCAUCCCCCAAUACAAACACACACACACACACACACACACACAGAGAGAGAGAGAGAGAGAGAGAGAGAGAGAGAGAAAGAGAAAGAGAAAGAGAAAGAGAGAGAGAAAAUAAAAAAGGAAAGAAUUGAUUAUUAGUGAUUUUUCUUGAAUGCCUAAAAUAGCUCCACAUCUAGUUUAAGGUGUAUGACACAGCACAUUUUCAUUAUGCAUUUCUUGAAAUGAAGAAUGAAUGAAUUAUGAAACUUAAUAUAUUACUGAUUCUAUCUGUUACAUGAGUUUUAAAAAUAUGUUGAGGCUAAGUAUAUUCUUAUAGUAGUGAUGGAGGAUGGUGUAGCAUACCUUGUGGUGGAGAGAAAGAGCUCAAUUAGAAGAAAAGAGUGGGUUUUAAUUUCAGUUUUGCUAUCACCACUUAGGUAUGAUCAAGCAGUCACCACAUCUCUUAAGUCCUCAUUAACUUAUACACUAAGGUAAGGCUAAUAGUACUUAUGAUACUUCUUUCUACAAUGGUGGCACCUUGUUCUUAUUGGUACUCUAGACAACCCAUUUUUAUAGAGGAGUUCUCAGGCACCCCUACUUUGAUAUUCUUUCUGAUUUUCCCUCUCUCGGAAGCCAUUACUUGCCUAAACCUCCAUAUCAUGCUUCCCAAAGACAUUUUAAAACUCUUGGGAAUGUGGAAACAGUGCAGGUGUGUGUAGGGGUGUCUAGGUACUUUAUUGGGAUGGGUUUAUACGCAGACUCUAAGACCAAACCUAGGCUUGGGAGAAUGAUAUCAGCUCAGAGUAUAGAAAAGACAGGGGGUAAAGAAGAUGAGGGGCAAUCCCUAAAAACCAACAGGACAAACUACCAACCAAGUCACAAAAGCCACAGCUAGGCAAGGCAGUAUGGGGAUGACAUGAGCAAUUAAGAACCUCUGUCACACAGCAUGCAGAGCUGUUGUAUAUGCUGCACGAACACAAACAGAAAGAGGAGUUUGGAGAGAGUGAGGGGAGAUGAAGAUGGAGUGAAAAUUUUGAAGCAGUUAUGCUGAGGAUACUGCAUGAAUGCAGCUCAGAAUGGAAAGAGAAAAAUAGAAGCCAUGUGAGACAUAGACACCAAUCAGGAUGUGAUACUGCAUUGCACAGUUUUCCUGAAACACCAAAAACAUAGGGUGGGCACCAUGUCAAAAUCUGCAAAUAGAGACAGGCUAAUAGAGACAAAGGGGUGAAGGCUACAAUACAAUAUCAAAUUCUGGAAAUACUGGAGCUUGUGGGCACGCCAAAAUACAGGGGAAAGGGCUGCCAAUAACCAUUCUGGAAAGAGAAAUGGGAUAAUGGGAUGAACACAAUCUGGGCCACUGGUUAGGCCAUGAAAUGAUGGAGAAAUGCCAGUUCAGGAAGUCUAUGCAUUAUGAAGUAAGGUACAGGUAUAUGCCAGCCACAGCAGGAACAAAAUUACAGUUAGGACAUUGCAAGUGAAAUAAUGUUAUGGUUGCUGGUCAACGCAACAUGAGGAACUGUAUUACACGGUGCCAGGUGCUGGAGCUGUUGAAACCCACUCACUGCCUUUUGGCUGUGAGGAAGUUGGGUGAGAGUCUGGCCACUCUUCUGAAUUGAAACGUGAAGGCCAUUUGCCCACAGCAAGGUCUCUGUCCUGGGUGGGUGGGGACAUCGGUGGGGGAUGAACAUAUCUGGGUUACCGCUGAGUCUUGCGUGUUGCACAGGCUCCAGAAUCCUGGAAGAGUCUUCCCCAGAUGCAUUGGGUGACUUCGGUGAAAAGAAAGCUAUAGCCUAUUUCCAAGGAUGGUCUGAUUGUGAGCAAUAGGAUCCCAGUUGGUUCAGAUUGAUCAGAUUUGGGGAUAAUGUGGAUAUAGAACUAAAACAAAGUGGCUAGGUUCAUGAAACUGUGUGACACCAGCAGGGCCUAAGAAUGGGGGACAGGGUCAUGGGGAUAUAUGUACUCCACCCUCUCUAAUGGGUUGCGUAAAUAGUUGGUGGAAAUUAGAUAAGGUUGGGAAGGGUUGAAUGCAUGAGCACAAUGGGCCCCAAGCCUCAUAGCUGGGCGGCCUGGUGCACAUUGCAAACAGGCCUCUGAGCUGUGGUGGUUGGUGGCCAGCAUUAUUCUCACUUGUUCCCAGCCCAAUGUACAUUCACGUAGAACCUGUGUCCCCACAGCCUCGAAUUUGCCCCUUGCUGGACUAGAGCUCAAAGUGUGCAUAUCUAUCCAGAUGUAGAGUGUGGGUCCGGGGCCUGUGACGGGAGCUGUGGGCAUCCUCAUUUUGCUGGAAUGGAUCACAGGCUGUGGGAAAUCUGCCUUGGCCUGGGACUAUGGAAUUGUAUGAGAAGAUCAGGAUUGGGGCACUCACUGCUCUCUUGUCUUGAUCCUGGAGAGAAACAUCGGGUAUCUCCCAAGAGUCUGUGUGAGAAAUCAAGGUCUAGACCGCUUCAAGGCUCAGCUGGUGAGGACCCUGCAUGAUGCCCGCCCUUUCUGCUCAUCCCAGUAGGGAAGGAUGACUGUGGCAAGUUAGCCUGUCACCAGGAUAGGAUGUUGCCAAGGAAUUUUGAGAACACAUCUAUGUGAACUAUGUGCAUGCUGUGAGCAGGAAGUGAAUGGACAAGGAUCCAUGAAAUACUGUCAUGCAGACUACAAGAUUCCAGCUACGCCGAGCAAGUAGUGAAUUUUGGAUAUGGAGGUGUCGUUCACUCACUGUUCCCACACAGGACUCUUUGGAAUGGGGACCGCAUCAACUUGGCCUAUGAGAGCAUGUCAAAUAGUAUGAUAAUUCUUGUAAUCUGGGGCACUAACUUUGCCUGCUGUUGUAAAGUCCACAGAGACCUUGUCUCCUGGCAGUGGUUCUUAUCCUGUGGUUAGCGACCAUCCAAAAGUCCACUGGCACAAAAGAAAUUUCUGCUAAAAGUCAUAGCAGAAGCACAAUUACUAUUAGGAUGCCGCAAGUAAAAUAAUUUUUAGGUUGGUAGUCAACAAAACAUGAGGAACUGUAUUAGAGGUUGCCAGGUGGUGGAGCUGUUGAAACCCACUCACUGCCUAUUGGCUGUGAGGGAGCUGGGUACAGUCUGGCCACUCUUCCUAAUUGAAAAGUGAAGGCCAUUUGCCUACAGCAAGGUCUUUGUGCUGGGUGGGUGGAUACAUUCGUGGCAGAAGAACAUAUCUGGGUCACCGCUGAAUCUUGGGUGUUGCACAGGCAACUAGACACUGGAAGAGGCAUCCCCAGAUGCCGUGGGUGACAUGGUUGAAAGAAAAACUACAGUCCAUCUUUGAGGAUGGUCAGUAUGUUAUCAAUGAGAUCUAAGUUGGUUCAGAUUGAACAAUUUUGGGGAUAAUAUAGAGCUAUAACAACUAGUCAUGUCCAUGAAACUGUGAAACACCAGCAGGGCCAAAGACUCGGAGACAGGGCCAUGGAGAUAUUUGUGUGCCAACCUUUCUAAUGGUUUUCUUAAAUAGUUGGUAGAAAUUAGGAAACCUUGUGAAGUUUUGAAUGCAUGAGCAUGAUGGACCCAAAGCCCCAUAGCUGGGGGCCAGGUACACCUUGUGGGUCAUCCUGGAAUGCCUCUAAGCUGUGGUGGUGAACAGCAUUAAUCUGUCACUGAACCAGAAAAAUGUAGUGGCAGCUACAACCUGCGUCACCAGAGAGUCUCUGGACUGUGACAUAAAUAAGGAGUAUGUGCCAGCCUAAAUCUCGCCCCUUGCAGAAUGAGAGCUCAAAUGUGCAUGUCAAUCCAGAUGUGGAGAGUGGGACCGUGGCCUGUGACUGGAACUGUGGGCAUCUUCACUUUGCUGGAAUGUAACACAGGCAAUGGCAGAUGUGGCCAAGUCUGGAAAUAUGGAAUUCUAUGAGGAGCUCAGGAGCUGAGGCACUCAAUGCUCUCAUGUUUAUAAGUGGAGAAUAACAAUGGGUGUCCCCCAAGAGCCUAUGUGGGAAAGGCAAGGUAUAGACCGCUUCAAGCCUCAGCUGGUGUGGAGCCUGCAUGAUGCCCGCCCUGCUCAUCCCAGUAGGGAAGGGUGACUUUGGCAGGACAGGAUGUUUCCCAGACCUUUUUGAUGCCACAUCCAUGUGAAGUAUGGGCUUGAUGUGAGGAGGCAAAUGGAUAGACCAGAAUCCAUGAAAUACUGGCAUGCAGGCUACAAGAUUCCAGCUAAGCCUUGCAAUGUAGUGAAAUAUGGGUGGGGAGGUGUCAUCCACUCACUGUUCCCACACAAGACACUUUGGAAUGGGGACUGCAACAACUUAGCCUAAUAGGGCAUGCCAAAUAGUAUGAUAAUUCAUGAUAUCUGGGGCACUACUUUUGCCCGCUGUAAUAAAGUCAACAGAGACCUUGUUUCAUGGCAGUGGUUCCUAUUCUAUGGUUAGCGAUCCACCAAAAGUCUACUGGCGCAAAAGAAAUUUCUGCUAGGAGACAUAGCAGAAGGAAAAUUGCAAUUAGUAUGUCGCCAGUGAAAUAAUUUUUGGUUGGUAGUCAACACAACCUGAGGAACUGUAUUAGAAGGUGCCAGGUGGUGGAGCUGUUGAAACCAACUUACUGCCAAUUGGCUGUGACGAAGUUGGGUACAGUCUGGCCGCUCUUCCUAAUUGAAAAGUGAAGGCCAAUUGCCGACAGCAAGGUCUCUGUCCUGGGUGGGUGGAGACAUUCGUGGCAGAAGAACAUAUCUGGGUCACUGCUGAGUCUUGGGUGUUACACAGGCACCUGGACCCUGGAAGAGGCAUGCCCAGAUGCAGAGGGUGCAUGGUUGAAAGAAAAACUACAGUCCAACUUUGAGGAUGCUCAAAAUGUUAUCAAUGAGAUCCCAGUGGGUUCAGAUUGAUCAAAUUUGGGGAUAAUAUAGAGCUGUAACAACUAGUCAUGUCCAUGAAAUUGUGCAACACCAGCAGGGCCAAAGACUCGGAGACAGGGCUAUGGGGAUAUAUUUCUGCCACCCUUUCUAAUUGUUUUCUUAAAUAGUUGGUGGAUAUUAGGAAACCUUAAGAAGUUUUGAAUGCAUGAGCAUGAUGGACCAAAAGCCCCAUAGCUGGGGGCAUGGUGCACCUUGUGUGGCAUCCUGGAAAGCCUCUAAGCUGUGGUGGUGAACAGCAUUAAUCUGUCACUGAACCAGAAAAAUAUAGUGGCAGCUACAACCUUCGUCCCCAGAUAGUCUCUGCACUGUGUUGUCAGUGAUGAGUAUGUGCCAGCCUAAAACUCGCCCCUUGCUGAAAUAGAGCUCAAAGUGUGAAUGUCAAUCCAGAUGUGGAGAGUAGACCGUGGCAUGUGACGGGAACUGUGGGCAUCAACACUUUGCUGGAAUGGAACACAGGCUAUGGGAGAUGUGCCCAAGCCUGGAACUAUGGAAUUCUAUGAGGAGCUCAGGAGUUGAGGCACACAAUGCUCUCAUGUUUAUAAGUGGAGAGUAACAAUGGGUGUCCCCCAAGAGCCUGUGUGGGAAAGGCAAGGUCUAGACCGCUUCUAUCCUCAGCUGGUGUGGAGCCUGCAUGAUGGCCGCCCUUUCUGCUCAUCCCAGUGGGGAAGGGUGACUUUGGCAGGACAGGAUGUUGCCCAGGCGUCUUUGAUGCCACAUCCAUGUGAAGUAGGGGCAUGCUGUGAGGAGGCAAAUGAAUGGACUAGAAUCCAUGAGAUACUGGCAUGCAGGCUACAAGAUUCCAGCUAUGCCUGGCAAUGGAGCCAAAUUUGUGUGGGGAGGUGUCGUUCACUCACUGUUCCCACACAGGACACUUUGGAAUGGGGUCCACUUCAACUUGGCCUAUUAGGGCGUGUUAAAUAGUAUGAUGAUUCAUGUGAUCUGGGACACUAACUUUGCCUGCUGUUGUAAAGUCAACAGAGACCUUGUGUCCUGGCAGUUUUUCCUAUCUUGUGGUUAGCGACCCUCCAAAAGUCCACCAGCGCAAAAGAAAUUUUUGCUAGGAGGCAUAACCCAAGCAAAAUUACAAUUAGGAUGUCACAAGUAAAAUAAUUUUUUGGUUGGUAGUCAACACAACCUGAGGAACUGUUUUAGAGGUUGCCAAUGGUGGAGCUGUUGAAGCCCACUCACUGCCUCUUGGCUGUGAUGAAUGUGGGUACAGUCUGGCUGCUCUUCCUAAUUGAAAAGUGAAGGCAAUUUGCCAACAGCAAGGUCUCUGUCCUGGCUGGAUGUAGACAUUCGUGUCAGAUGAACAUAUCUGGGUCACUGCUGAGUCUCUGGUGUUGCACAGGCACCUGGACCCUGGAAGAGGCAUCCCCAGAUGCCGAGGGUGAUAUGGUUCAAAGAAAAAUUACAGUCCAUCUUUGAGGAUGGUCAGUAUGUUAUCAAUGAGAUCUAAGUUGGUUCAGAUUGAUCAAAUUUGGGGAUAAUAUAGAGCUGUAACAACUAGUUAUGUCCAUGAAACUGUGCAACACCAGCACGGCCAAAGACUCGGAAACAGGGCCAUGGAGAUAUAUGUGUGCCACCCUUUCUAAUGAUUUUCAUAAAUAGUUGGUGGAAAUUAGGAAACCUUGUGAAGUUUUGAAUGUAUGAGCAUGAUGGACUCAAAGCCCCAUAGCUGGGGGCCCAGGGACACCUUGUGUGGCAUCCUGGAAAGCCUCUAAGCUGUGGUGGUGAACAGCAUUAAUCUGUCACUGAACCAGAAAAAUGUAGUGGCAGCUACAACCUGCGUCGCCAGAUAGUCUCUGAACUGUGUUGUCAGUGAUGAGUAUGUGCUAGCCUAAAACUCGCCCCUUGAUGAAAUAGAGCUCAAAGUGUGCAUGUCAAUCCAGAUGUGGAGAGUGGGACUGUGGCCUGUGACGGUAGCUGUGGGCAUCGUCACUUUGAUGGAAUGGAACACAGGCUAUGGGAGAUGUGGCCAAGUCUGGAAAUAUGGAAUUCUAUGAGGAGCUCAGGAGCUGAGGCACACAAUGCUCUCAUGGUUAUAAGUGGAGAGUAACAAUGGGUGUCCCCCAAGAGCCUGUGUGGGAAAGGCAAGGUCUAGACUGCUUCUAUCCUCAGCUGGUGUGGAGCUUGCAUGAUGGCCGCCCUUUCUGCUCAUCCCACUGGGUAAGGGUGACUUUGGCAGGACAGGAUGUUGCCCAGGCGUCUUUGAUGCCACAUCCAUGUGAAGUAUGGGCAUGCUGUGAGGAGGCAAAUGAAUAGACUAGAAUCCAUGAGAUACUGACAUGCAGGCUACAAAAUUCCAGCUAUGCCUGGCAAUGGAGCCAAAUUUGUGUGGGGAGGUGUCGUUCACUCACUGUUCCCACACAGGACUCUUUGGAAUUGGGACCGCAUCAACUUGGCCUAUUAGGGCGUGUCAAAUAGUAUGAUAAUUCAUGUGAUCUGGGACACUAACUUUGCCUGCUGUUGUAAAGUCAACAGAGACCUUGUUUCAUGGCAGUUGGUCCUAUCCUGUGGUUAGCGAUCCUCCAAAAGUCUCCGGUGCAAAAGGAAUUUCUGCUAGGAGACAUAGCAGAAGGAAAGUUGCAAUUAGUAUGUCGCAUGUAAAAUAAUUUUUUGGUUGGUAGUCAACACAACCUGAGGAACUGUAUUAGAAGGUGCCAGGUGGUGGAGCUGUUGAAACCAACUUACUGCCAAUUGGCUGUGACGAAGUUGGGUACAGUCUAGCCCCUCUUCCUAAUUGAAAAGUGAAGGCCAUUUGCCGACAGCAAGGUCUCUGUCCUGGGUGGGUGGAGACAUUCGUCGCAGAAGAACAUAUCUGGGUCACUGCUGAGUCUUGGGUGUUGCACAGGCACCUGGACCCUGGAAGAGGCAUCCCCAGAUGCAGAGGGUGACAUGGUUGUAAGAAAAACUACAGUCCAACGGUGAGGAUGCUCAGAAUGUUAUCAAUGAGAUCCCAGUGGGUUAAGACUGAUCAAAUUUGGGGAUAAUAUAAGAGCUGUAACAACUAGUCAUGUCCAUGAAACUGUGCUACACCAGCAGGGCCAAAGACUCAGACACAGGGCCAUGGAGAUAUUUGUGUGCCAACCUUUCUAAUGGUUUACUAAAAUAGUUGGUGGAAAUUAGGAAACCUUGUGAAGUUUUGAAUGCAUGAGCAUGAUCGACCCAAAGCCCCAUAGCUGGGGGGCCAGGUGCACGUUGUGUGGCAUCCUGGAAAGCCUCUAAGCUGUGGUGGUGAACAGCAUUAAUCUGUCACUGAACCAGAAAAAUGUAGUGGCAGCUACAACCUGCGUCGCCAGAUAGUCUCUGAACUGUGUUGUCAGUGAUGAGUAUGUGCCAGCCUAAAACUCGCCCCUUGAUGAAAUAGAGCUCAAAGUGUGCAUGCCAAUCCAGAUGUGGAGGGUGGGACUGUGGCCUGUGACGGGAGCUGUGGGCAUCGUCACUUUGAUGGAAUGGAACACAGGCUAUGGGAGAUGUGGCCAAGUCUGGAAAUAUGGAAUUCUAUGAGGAGCUCAGGAGCUGAGGCACUCAAUGCUCUCAUGUUUAUAAGUGGAGAGUAACAAUGGGUGUCCCCCAAGAGCCUGUGUGGGAAAGGCAAGGUCUAGACCGCUUCUAUCCUCAGCUGGUGUGGAGCCUGCAUGAUGGCCGCCCUUUCUGCUCAUCCCAGUGGGGAAGGGUGACUUUGGCAGGACAGGAUGUUGCCCAGGCGUCUUUGAUGCCACAUCCAUGUGAAGUAUGGGCAUGCUGUGAGGAGGCAAAUGAAUAGACUAGAAUCCAUGAGAUACUGACAUGCAGGCUACAAAAUUCCAGCUAUGCCUGGCAAUGGAGCCAAAUUUGUGUGGGGAGGUGUCGUUCACUCACUGUUCCCACACAGGACUCUUUGGAAUUGGGACCGCAUCAACUUGGCCUAUUAGGGCGUGUCAAAUAGUAUGAUAAUUCAUGUGAUCUGGGGCACUAACUUUGCCUGCUGUUGUAAAGUCAACAGAGACCUUGUUUCAUGGCAGUGGGUCCUAUCCUGUGGUUAGCGAUCCUCCAAAAGUCUCCGGUGCAAAAGGAAUUUCUGCUAGGAGACAUAGCAGAAGGAAAGUUGCAAUUAGUAUGUCGCAUGUAAAAUAAUUUUUUGGUUGGUAGUCAACACAACCUGAGGAACUGUAUUAGAAGGUGCCAGGUGGUGGAGCUGUUGAAACCAACUUACUGCCAAUUGGCUGUGACGAAGUUGGGUACAGUCUAGCCCCUCUUCCUAAUUGAAAAGUGAAGGCCAUUUGCCGACAGCAAGGUCUCUGUCCUGGGUGGGUGGAGACAUUCGUCGCAGAAGAACAUAUCUGGGUCACUGCUGAGUCUUGGGUGUUGCACAGGCACCUGGACCCUGGAAGAGGCAUCCCCAGAUGCAGAGGGUGACAUGGCUGUAAGAAAAACUACAGUCCAACGGUGAGGAUGCUCAGAAUGUUAUCAAUGAGAUCCCAGUGGGUUAAGACUGAUCAAAUUUGGGGAUAAUAUAAGAGCUGUAACAACUAGUCAUGUCCAUGAAACUGUGCUACACCAGCAGGGCCAAAGACUCAGACACAGGGCCAUGGAGAUAUUUGUGUGCCAACCUUUCUAAUGGUUUACUUAAAUAGUUGGUGGAAAUUAGGAAACCUUGUGAAGUUUUGAAUGCAUGAGCAUGAUCGACCCAAAGCCCCAUAGCUGGGGGGCCAGGUGCACGUUGUGUGGCAUCCUGGAAAGCCUCUAAGCUGUGGUGGUGAACAGCAUUAAUCUGUCACUGAACCAGAAAAAUGUAGUGGCAGCUACAACCUGCGUCGCCAGAUAGUCUCUGAACUGUGUUGUCAGUGAUGAGUAUGUGCCAGCCUAAAACUCGCCCCUUGAUGAAAUAGAGCUCAAAGUGUGCAUGCCAAUCCAGAUGUGGAGGGUGGGACUGUGGCCUGUGACGGGAGCUGUGGGCAUCGUCACUUUGAUGGAAUGGAACACAGGCUAUGGGAGAUGUGGCCAAGUCUGGAAAUAUGGAAUUCUAUGAGGAGCUCAGGAGCUGAGGCACUCAAUGCUCUCAUGUUUAUAAGUGGAGAGUAACAAUGGGUGUCCCCCAAGAGCCUGUGUGGGAAAGGCAAGGUCUAGACCGCUUCUAUCCUCAGCUGGUGUGGAGCCUGCAUGAUGGCCGCCCUUUCUGCUCAUCCCAGUGGGGAAGGGUGACUUUGGCAGGACAGGAUGUUGCCCAGGCGUCUUUGAUGCCACAUCCAUGUGAAGUAUGGGCAUGCUGUGAGGAGGCACAUGAUUGGACUAGAAUCCAUGAGAUACUGGCAUGCAGGCUACAAGAUUCCAGCUAUGCCUGGCAAUGGAGCCAAAUUUGUGUGGGGAGGUGUCGUUCACUCACUGUUCCCACACAGGACCCUUUGGAAUGGGGACCACUUCAACUUGGCCUAUUAGGGCAUGUCAAAUAGUGUGAUGAUUCAUGUGAUCUGAGACCCUAACUUUGCCUGCUGUUGUAAAGUCAACAGAGACCUUGUGUCCUGGCAGUUUUUCCUAUCCUGUGGUUAGCGACCCUCCAAAAGUCCACCGGCGCAAAAGAAAUUUUUGCUAGGAGGCAUAGCCCAAGCAAAAUUACAAUUAGGAUGUCGCAAGUAAAAUAAUUUUUUGGUUGGUAGUCAACACAACCUGAGGAACUGUUUUAGAGGUUGUCAGGUGGUGGAGCUGUUGAAGCCCACUCACUGCCUCUUGGCUGUGAUGAAUGUGGGUACAGUCUGGCUGCUCUUCCUAAUUGAAAAGUGAAGGCAAUUUGCCAACAGCAAGGUCUCUGUCCUGGCUGGAUGUAGACAUUCGUGUCAGAUGAACAUAUCUGGGUCACUGCUGAGUCUCUGGUGUUGCACAGGCACCUGGACCCUGGAAGAGGCAUCCCCAGAUGCCGAGGGUGAUAUGGUUCAAAGAAAAAUUACAGUCCAUCUUUGAGGAUGGUCAGUAUGUUAUCAAUGAGAUCUAAGUUGGUUCAGAUUGAUCAAAUUUGGGGAUAAUAUAGAGCUGUAACAACUAGUUAUGUCCAUGAAACUGUGCAACACCAGCACGGCCAAAGACUCGGAAACAGGGCCAUGGAGAUAUAUGUGUGCCACCCUUUCUAAUGAUUUUCAUAAAUAGUUGGUGGAAAUUAGGAAACCUUGUGAAGUUUUGAAUGUAUGAGCAUGAUGGACUCAAAGCCCCUUAGCUGGGGGCCCAGGGACACCUUGUGUGGCAUCCUGGAAAGCCUCUAAGCUGUGGUGGUGAACAGCAUUAAUCUGUCACUGAACCAGAAAAAUGUAGUGGCAGCUACAACCUGCGUCGCCAGAUAGUCUCUGAACUGUGUUGUCAGUGAUGAGUAUGUGCUAGCCUAAAACUCGCCCCUUGAUGAAAUAGAGCUCAAAGUGUGCAUGUCAAUCCAGAUGUGGAGAGUGGGACUGUGGCCUGUGACGGUAGCUGUGGGCAUCGUCACUUUGAUGGAAUGGAACACAGGCUAUGGGAGAUGUGGCCAAGUCUGGAAAUAUGGAAUUCUAUGAGGAGCUCAGGAGCUGAGGCACACAAUGCUCUCAUGGUUAUAAGUGGAGAGUAACAAUGGGUGUCCCCAAGAGCCUGUGUGGGAAAGGCAAGGUCUAGACUGCUUCUAUCCUCAGCUGGUGUGGAGCUUGCAUGAUGGCCGCCCUUUCUGCUCAUCCCACUGGGUAAGGGUGACUUUGGCAGGACAGGAUGUUGCCCAGGCGUCUUUGAUGCCACAUCCAUGUGAAGUAUGGGCAUGCUGUGAGGAGGCAAAUGAAUAGACUAGAAUCCAUGAGAUACUGACAUGCAGGCUACAAAAUUCCAGCUAUGCCUGGCAAUGGAGCCAAAUUUGUGUGGGGAGGUGUCGUUCACUCACUGUUCCCACACAGGACUCUUUGGAAUUGGGACCGCAUCAACUUGGCCUAUUAGGGCGUGUCAAAUAGUAUGAUAAUUCAUGUGAUCUGGGACACUAACUUUGCCUGCUGUUGUAAAGUCAACAGAGACCUUGUUUCAUGGCAGUGGGUCCUAUCCUGUGGUUAGCGAUCCUCCAAAAGUCUCCGGUGCAAAAGGAAUUUCUGCUAGGAGACAUAGCAGAAGGAAAGUUGCAAUUAGUAUGUCGCAUGUAAAAUAAUUUUUUGGUUGGUAGUCAACACAACCUGAGGAACUGUAUUAGAAGGUGCCAGGUGGUGGAGCUGUUGAAACCAACUUACUGCCAAUUGGCUGUGACGAAGUUGGGUACAGUCUAGCCCCUCUUCCUAAUUGAAAAGUGAAGGCCAUUUGCCGACAGCAAGGUCUCUGUCCUGGGUGGGUGGAGACAUUCGUCGCAGAAGAACAUAUCUGGGUCACUGCUGAGUCUUGGGUGUUGCACAGGCACCUGGACCCUGGAAGAGGCAUCCCCAGAUGCAGAGGGUGACAUGGUUGUAAGAAAAACUACAGUCCAACGGUGAGGAUGCUCAGAAUGUUAUCAAUGAGAUCCCAGUGGGUUAAGACUGAUCAAAUUUGGGGAUAAUAUAAGAGCUGUAACAACUAGUCAUGUCCAUGAAACUGUGCUACACCAGCAGGGCCAAAGACUCAGACACAGGGCCAUGGAGAUAUUUGUGUGCCAACCUUUCUAAUGGUUUACUAAAAUAGUUGGUGGAAAUUAGGAAACCUUGUGAAGUUUUGAAUGCAUGAGCAUGAUCGACCCAAAGCCCCAUAGCUGGGGGGCCAGGUGCACGUUGUGUGGCAUCCUGGAAAGCCUCUAAGCUGUGGUGGUGAACAGCAUUAAUCUGUCACUGAACCAGAAAAAUGUAGUGGCAGCUACAACCUGCGUCGCCAGACAGUCUCUGCACUGUGUUGUCAGUGAUGAGUAUGUGCCAGCCUAAAACUCGCCCCUUGCUGAAAUAGAGCUCAAAGUGUGAAUGUCAAUCCAGAUGUGGAGAGUAGACCGUGGCAUGUGACGGGAACUGUGGGCAUCAACACUUUGCUGGAAUGGAACACAGGCUAUGGGAGAUGUGCCCAAGCCUGGAACUAUGGAAUUCUAUGAGGAGCUCAGGAGUUGAGGCACACAAUGCUCUCAUGUUUAUAAGUGGAGAGUAACAAUGGGUGUUCCCCAAGAGCCUGUGUGGGAAAGGCAAGGUCUAGACCGCUUCUAUCCUCAGCUGGUGUGGAGCCUGCAUGAUGGCCGCCCUUUCUGCUCAUCCCAGUGGGGAAGGGUGACUUUGGCAGGACAGGAUGUUGCCCAGGCGUCUUUGAUGCCACAUCCAUGUGAAGUAGGGGCAUGCUGUGAGGAGGCAAAUGAAUGGACUAGAAUCCAUGAGAUACUGGCAUGCAGGCUACAAGAUUCCAGCUAUGCCUGGCAAUGGAGCCAAAUUUGUGUGGGGAGGUGUCGUUCACUCACUGUUCCCACACAGGACACUUUGGAAUGGGGUCCACUUCAACUUGGCCUAUUAGGGCGUGUUAAAUAGUAUGAUGAUUCAUGUGAUCUGGGACACUAACUUUGCCUGCUGUUGUAAAGUCAACAGAGACCUUGUGUCCUGGCAGUUUUUCCUAUCAUGUGGUUAGCGACCCUCCAAAAGUCCACCAGCGCAAAAGAAAUUUUUGCUAGGAGGCAUAACCCAAGCAAAAUUACAAUUAGGAUGUCACAAGUAAAAUAAUUUUUUGGUUGGUAGUCAACACAACCUGAGGAACUGUUUUAGAGGUUGCCAAUGGUGGAGCUGUUGAAGCCCACUCACUGCCUAUUGGCUGUGAUGAAUGUGGGUACAGUCUGGCUGCUCUUCCUAAUUGAAAAGUGAAGGCAAUUUGCCAACAGCAAGGUCUCUGUCCUGGCUGGAUGUAGACAUUCGUGUCAGAUGAACAUAUCUGGGUCACUGCUGAGUCUCUGGUGUUGCACAGGCACCUGGACCCUGGAAGAGGCAUCCCCAGAUGCCGAGGGUGAUAUGGUUCAAAGAAAAAUUACAGUCCAUCUUUGAGGAUGGUCAGUAUGUUAUCAAUGAGAUCUAAGUUGGUUCAGAUUGAUCAAAUUUGGGGAUAAUAUAGAGCUGUAACAACUAGUUAUGUCCAUGAAACUGUGCAACACCAGCACGGCCAAAGACUCGGAAACAGGGCCAUGGAGAUAUAUGUGUGCCACCCUUUCUAAUGAUUUUCAUAAAUAGUUGGUGGAAAUUAGGAAACCUUGUGAAGUUUUGAAUGUAUGAGCAUGAUGGACUCAAAGCCCCAUAGCUGGGGGCCCAGGGACACCUUGUGUGGCAUCCUGGAAAGCCUCUAAGCUGUGGUGGUGAACAGCAUUAAUCUGUCACUGAACCAGAAAAAUGUAGUGGCAGCUACAACCUGCGUCGCCAGAUAGUCUCUGAACUGUGUUGUCAGUGAUGAGUAUGUGCUAGCCUAAAACUCGCCCCUUGAUGAAAUAGAGCUCAAAGUGUGCAUGUCAAUCCAGAUGUGGAGAGUGGGACUGUGGCCUGUGACGGUAGCUGUGGGCAUCGUCACUUUGAUGGAAUGGAACACAGGCUAUGGGAGAUGUGGCCAAGUCUGGAAAUAUGGAAUUCUAUGAGGAGCUCAGGAGCUGAGGCACACAAUGCUCUCAUGGUUAUAAGUGGAGAGUAACAAUGGGUGUCCCCCAAGAGCCUGUGUGGGAAAGGCAAGGUCUAGACUGCUUCUAUCCUCAGCUGGUGUGGAGCUUGCAUGAUGGCCGCCCUUUCUGCUCAUCCCACUGGGUAAGGGUGACUUUGGCAGGACAGGAUGUUGCCCAGGCGUCUUUGAUGCCACAUCCAUGUGAAGUAUGGGCAUGCUGUGAGGAGGCAAAUGAAUAGACUAGAAUCCAUGAGAUACUGACAUGCAGGCUACAAAAUUCCAGCUAUGCCUGGCAAUGGAGCCAAAUUUGUGUGGGGAGGUGUCGUUCACUCACUGUUCCCACACAGGACUCUUUGGAAUUGGGACCGCAUCAACUUGGCCUAUUAGGGCGUGUCAAAUAGUAUGAUAAUUCAUGUGAUCUGGGGCACUAACUUUGCCUGCUGUUGUAAAGUCAACAGAGACCUUGUUUCAUGGCAGUGGGUCCUAUCCUGUGGUUAGCGAUCCUCCAAAAGUCUCCGGUGCAAAAGGAAUUUCUGCUAGGAGACAUAGCAGAAGGAAAGUUGCAAUUAGUAUGUCGCAUGUAAAAUAAUUUUUUGGUUGGUAGUCAACACAACCUGAGGAACUGUAUUAGAAGGUGCCAGGUGGUGGAGCUGUUGAAACCAACUUACUGCCAAUUGGCUGUGACGAAGUUGGGUACAGUCUAGCCCCUCUUCCUAAUUGAAAAGUGAAGGCCAUUUGCCGACAGCAAGGUCUCUGUCCUGGGUGGGUGGAGACAUUCGUCGCAGAAGAACAUAUCUGGGUCACUGCUGAGUCUUGGGUGUUGCACAGGCACCUGGACCCUGGAAGAGGCAUCCCCAGAUGCAGAGGGUGACAUGGCUGUAAGAAAAACUACAGUCCAACGGUGAGGAUGCUCAGAAUGUUAUCAAUGAGAUCCCAGUGGGUUAAGACUGAUCAAAUUUGGGGAUAAUAUAAGAGCUGUAACAACUAGUCAUGUCCAUGAAACUGUGCUACACCAGCAGGGCCAAAGACUCAGACACAGGGCCAUGGAGAUAUUUGUGUGCCAACCUUUCUAAUGGUUUACUUAAAUAGUUGGUGGAAAUUAGGAAACCUUGUGAAGUUUUGAAUGCAUGAGCAUGAUCGACCCAAAGCCCCAUAGCUGGGGGGCCAGGUGCACGUUGUGUGGCAUCCUGGAAAGCCUCUAAGCUGUGGUGGUGAACAGCAUUAAUCUGUCACUGAACCAGAAAAAUGUAGUGGCAGCUACAACCUGCGUCGCCAGAUAGUCUCUGAACUGUGUUGUCAGUGAUGAGUAUGUGCCAGCCUAAAACUCGCCCCUUGAUGAAAUAGAGCUCAAAGUGUGCAUGCCAAUCCAGAUGUGGAGGGUGGGACUGUGGCCUGUGACGGGAGCUGUGGGCAUCGUCACUUUGAUGGAAUGGAACACAGGCUAUGGGAGAUGUGGCCAAGUCUGGAAAUAUGGAAUUCUAUGAGGAGCUCAGGAGCUGAGGCACUCAAUGCUCUCAUGUUUAUAAGUGGAGAGUAACAAUGGGUGUCCCCCAAGAGCCUGUGUGGGAAAGGCAAGGUCUAGACCGCUUCUAUCCUCAGCUGGUGUGGAGCCUGCAUGAUGGCCGCCCUUUCUGCUCAUCCCAGUGGGGAAGGGUGACUUUGGCAGGACAGGAUGUUGCCCAGGCGUCUUUGAUGCCACAUCCAUGUGAAGUAUGGGCAUGCUGUGAGGAGGCAAAUGAAUAGACUAGAAUCCAUGAGAUACUGACAUGCAGGCUACAAAAUUCCAGCUAUGCCUGGCAAUGGAGCCAAAUUUGUGUGGGGAGGUGUCGUUCACUCACUGUUCCCACACAGGACCCUUUGGAAUGGGGACCACUUCAACUUGGCCUAUUAGGGCAUGUCAAAUAGUAUGAUGAUUCCUGUGAUCUGAGACACUAACUUUGCCUGCUGUUGUAAAGUCAACAGAGACCUUGUGUCCUGGCAGUUUUUCCUAUCCUGUGGUUAGCGACCCUCCAAAAGUCCACCGGCGCAAAAGAAAUUUUUGCUAGGAGGCAUAGCCCAAGCAAAAUUACAAUUAGGAUGUCGCAAGUAAAAUAAUUUUUUGGUUGGUAGUCAACACAACCUGAGGAACUGUUUUAGAGGUUGCCAGGUGGUGGAGCUGUUGAUGCCCACUCACUGCCUAUUGGCUGUGAGGAAUGUGGAUACAGUCUGGCCGCUCUUCCUAUUUGAAAAGUGAAGGCCAUUUGCCAACAGCAAGGUCUCUGUCCUGGCUGGAUGUAGACAUUCGUGGCAGAAGAAGAUAUCUGGGUCACUGCUGAGUCUUGGGUGUUGCACAGGCACCUGGACCCUGGAAGAGGCAUCCCCUUUCUGCUCAUCCCAUUAGGGAAGGGUGACUGUGACAUGUUAACCCGUCACCAUGACAGGAUGCUUCCCAGGUUUUUUGAUGCGACAUCCAUGUGAACUAUGGGCUUGCUGUGAGCAGGCAAGUGAAUAGACCAGAAUCCAUGAAAUACUGGCAUGCAGUCUACGAGAUUCCAGCCAUGCCAUGCUAUGUAGGCAAAUUCGCGUGGGGAGGUGUCGUUUAAUCACUGUUCCCACACAGGAAUCUUUGGAAUUGGGACCACAUUAACUUGGCCUAUUAGGGCGUGUCAAAUAGUGUGAUAAUUCAUGUGAUCUGGGGCACUAACUUAGCCCGCUGUUGUAAAUUCAACAGAGACCUUGUCUCAUGGCAGUGGUUCUCAUCCUGUGUGUAUCAGCCCUCCAAAAGACCAUCUGCGCAAAACACAUUCCUGCUAGGAGUCAUACCAGAUGCAAAAAUACAGUUGUCAUGUAGCAAGUAAAAUAAUGUUAUGGUUGCUGGUCAACACAACAUGAGGAACUGUAUUACACGGUGCCAGGUGCUGGAGCUGUUGAAACCCACUCACUGCCUUUUGGCUGUGAGGAAGUUGGGUGAGAGUCUGGCCACUCUUCUGAAUUGAAACGUGAAGGCCAUUUGCCCACAGCAAGGUCUCUGUCCCGGGUGGGUGGGGACAUUGGUGGGGGAUGAACAUAUCUGGGUCACUGAUGAGUCUUAGAUGUUGCACAGGCUCCUGAACCCUGGAAGAGUCUUCCCCAGAUGCAUUGGGUGACUUCAGUGAAAGGAAAGCUAUAGCCUAUAUCCAAGGAUGGUCUGAUUGUGAGCAAUAGGAUCCCAGUUGGUUCAGAUUGAUCAGAUUUGGGGAUAAUGUGGAUAUAGAACUGAAACAAAGUGGCUAGGUUCACGAAACUGUGUAACACCAGUAGGACCUAAGAGUGGGGGACAUAGUCAUGGGGAUAUAUGUACUCCACCCUCUCUAAUGGGUUGCGUAAAUAGUUGGUGGAAAUUAGAUAAGGUUGGGAAGGGUUGAAUGCAUGAGCACAAUGGGCCCCAAGCCUCAUAGCUGGGUGGCCUGGUGCACAUUGCGAACAGGCCUCUGAGCUGUGGUGGUUGGUGGCCAGCAUUAUUCUCACUUCUUCUCAGCCCAAUGUACAUUCACACAGAACCUGUGUCCCCAGCUAGAUAUUUCAAGUGUCAUAAGGGACAGAUAUGUGGCAGCCUGGAUUUUGCCCCUUGCUGGACUAGAGCUCAAAGUAUACAUAUCUAUCCAGAUGGAGAGUGUGGGUCCGGGGCCUGUGACGGGAGCGGUGGGCAUCCUCAUAUUGCUGUAAUGGAUCACAGGCUGUGGGAAAUCUGCCCAGGCCUGGGACUAUGGAAUUGUAUGAAAAGCUCAGGAUUGGGGCACUCACUGCUCUCUUGGCUUAUUCCUGCAGAGUAACACCAGACAUCUCCCAAGAGUCUGUGUGAGAAAUCAAGGUCUAGACCACUUCAAGGCUCAGCUGGAGUGGACCCUGCAUGAUUCUCGCCCUUUCUGUUAUACCCAGAGUAAUGGGUUUCUGUGGCAAGUUAGCCUGUCACCAGGACAGGAUAUUGCCAAGGCAUUUUGAGAACACAUCUAUGUGAACUAUGUGCAUGCUGUGAGCAGGCAAAUGAAUGGACAAGAAUCCAUGAAAUACUGACAUGCAGACUACAAGAUAACAACUAGACCUGGCAAUGUAGAGAAAUUUGUGUGGGGAGGUGUCGUUUACUCACUGUUCCCACACAGGACUCUCUGAAUGGGAACCGCAUCAACUUGGCGUAUUAGGGCAUGUCAAAUAGUAUGAUAAUUCUUGUAAUCUGAGACACUAACUAUGGCUGCUGUUGUAAAGUCCACAGAGACCUUGUCUCAUGGCAGUGGUUCCUAUCCUGUGGUUAGCGACCCUCCAAAAGUCCACCUGCACGAAAGAAAUUCCUGCUAGGCGUCAUAGAAGAAUAAAAAUUACAAUUAGCAUGUCGCAAGUAAAAUAAUUUUUGGUUGGUAGUCAACACAAACUGAGGAACUGUAUUAGAGGUUGCCAGGUGGUGGAGCUGUUGAAACCCACUCACUGCCUAUUGGCUGUGAGGAAGGUGGGUACAGUCUGACGGUCUUCCUAAUUGAAAAGUGAAGGCUAUUUGCCCACAGCAAGGUCUCUGUCCUGGGUGGGUGGAGACAUUCGUGGCAGAAGAACAUAUCUGGGACACUGCUGAGUCUUGGGUGUUGCACAGGCCCCUGGACCCUGGAAGAGGCAACCCCAGAUGCCGCGGGUGACAUGAAAGCAAAAUUACAGUCCAUCUUUGAGGAUGGUCAGCAUGUUAUCAAUGAGAUCCUAGUUGGUUCAGAUUGUUCAAAUUUGGGGAUGAUAUAGAGCUUUAACAACUAUUCAUGUCCACAAAACUGUGCAAUACUAGCAGGGCCAAAGUGUCUGGGAAAGGGCCAUGGGGAUAUAUUUGUGCCACCCUUUUUAAUGGUUUUCUUAAAAGUGGUGGAAAUUAGGAAACCUUGUGAAGUUUUGGAUACAUGAACAUGAUAGACACAAGCCCCACAGCUGGGGUGCCAGGUGCACCUUGUGUGGCAUCCUGGAAAGCCUCUGAGCUGUGGUGGGGGACAGCAUUAAUCUCUUUAUCCCAGCCGAAUCUAGUGGCAGCCAAAACAUGCAACCCCAGCUAGUCUCUGCACUGUGUCGUAAGUGAUGGGUAUGUGCCAGCCUAGAGCGUGCCCCUUGCAGACCUAUAGCUCAAGAUGUGCAUAUCCAUCCAGAUGUGGAGAGUGGGAACGUGGCCUGUGACGGGAGCUGGGGGCAUCAUCAAUUUGCUUGAAUGGAAUACAGGCUACGGGAGAUGUGGCCAUGCCUGGGACUAUGGAAUUCUAUGAGGAGCUCAGGAGCUGAGGCACACAAUGCUCUCAUGUUUAUAACUGGAGAGUAAUACCAGGUGUCCCCCAAGAGACUGUGUGCGAAAGGCAAGGUCUAGACCGCUUCAAACCUCAGCUGGUGUGGAGCCUGCAUGCUGCCCGCCCUUUCUGCUCAUCCCAGUAGGGAAGGGUGACUUUGUCAGGACAGGAUGUUGCCCAGGCAUCUUUGAUGCCACAUCCAUAUGAAGUAUGGGCAUGCUGUGAGGAGGCAAAUGAAUGAACUAGAAUCCAUGAGAUACUGGCAUGCAGGCUACAAGAUUCCAGCUAUGCCUGGCAAUGGAGCCAAAUUUGGGUAUGGAGUUUUCCUUCACUCACUGUUCCCACACAGGAGUCUUUGGAAUGGGGACCGCAUCAACUUGGCCUAUUAGGGCGUGUCAAAUAGUAUGAUAAUUCAUGUGAUCUGAGACCCUAACUUUGCCUGCUGUUGUAAAGUCAACAGAGACCUUGUGUCCUGGCAGUGUUUCCUAUCCUGUGGUUAGCAACACUCCAAAGUCCACUGGCACAAAAGAAAUUCUUGCUAGGAGUCAUAGCGGAAGCAAAAUUACAAUUAGGAUGUCGCAAGUAAAAUAAAUUUUUGGUUGGUAGUCAACACAACCUGAGGAACUGUAUUAGAGGUUGCCAGGUUGUGGAGCUGUUGAAACCCACCACUGCGUAUUGGCUGUGAGGGACCUGGGUACAGUCUGGCUCUCUUCCUAAUUUAAAGCGAAGGCCAUUUACCCACAGCAAGGUCUCUGUCCUGGGUGGGUGGAGACAUUCCAGGCAGAUGAACGUAUCUGGGUCACUGCUGAGUCUUGGGUGUUGCACAGGCACCUGGACCCUGAAAGAGGCAUCCCCAGAUGCCAUGGGUGACAUGGUUGAAAGGAAAAUUAUCAGUCCAUCUUUUAAGAUGGUCAUUAUGUUUUCACUGAGAAUCCAAUUGGUUCAGAUUGUUCAAAUUUGGGGAUAAUAUAGAGCUGUAACAACUACUCAUGUCCACAAAACUGUGCAACACCAGCAGGGCCAAAUUGUCUGGGACAGGGCCAAGGGGAUAUAUUUGUGCCACCCUUUCUAAUGGUUUUCUUAAAUGUUGGUGGAAAUUUGUAAACCUUGUGAAGUUUUGAAUGCAUGAGCAAUGAUGGACCCAAAGUCCCAUAGCUGAGGGGAUAGGUGCACCUUGUGUGGCAUCCAGGAAAGCCUCUGAGCCGUGGUGGUGGACAGCAUUAAUUUGUCUUUGACCCAGCCGAAUGUAGUGGCAGGCUACAACCUGCGUCCCCAGCUAGUCUCUGCACUGUGUUGUAAGAGAUGGGUAUGUGCCAGCCUAGAGCUUGCCCAUUGCGGACCUAGAGCUCAAGAUGUGCAUAUCCAUCCAGAUGUGGAGAGUGGGACCAUGGCCUGUGACUGGAGCUGUCGGCAUCGUCACUUUGCUGGAAUGGAACACAGGCUAUGGGAGAAGUGGCCAAGCCUGGAAUAUGGAAUUCUAUGAAGAGCUCAGGAUCUGAGGCACACAAUGCUCUCAUGUUUAUGACUGGAGAGUAAUACCGGGUGUCCCCCAAGAGCCUGUGUGGGAAAGGCAAGAUCUAGACAGCUUCAAGCCUCAGCUGGUGUGGAGCUUGGAUAAUGGCCGCCCUUUCUGCUCAUACCAGUAGGGAAGGGUGCCUUUGGCAGGACAGGAUGAUGCCCUGGCGUCUUUGAUGCCACAUCCAGUAAGGGCAUGCUGUGAGGAGGCAAAUGAAUGGACUAGAAUCCAUGAAAUGCUGCCAUACAGGGUACAAGAUUCCAGCUAUGCCUGGCAAUGUAGCCAAAUUUGUGUGUGCAGGUGAAGUUCAUUCCCUGUUCCCACACAGGACUCUUUGGAAUGGGAACCAAAUAAAAUUGGCCUAUUAGCGCAUGUCAAAUAGUAUGAUAAUUCUUGUGAUCUGAGGCACUAACUUUGCCUGCGUUGUAAAUUCAACAGAGACCUUGUGUCCAGGCAGUGGUUCCUAUCCUGUAGUUAGCGACCCUCCAAACGUCUACCGGCGCAAAAGAAAUUUCUGCUAGGAGUCAUAGCAGAACCAAAAUUACAAUUAGGAUGUUGAAAGGGAAAUAAUUUUUUGGUUGGUAGUCAACACAACCUGAGGAACUGUAUUAGAGGGUGCCAGGUGGUGGAGCUGUUGAAACCCACCACUGCCUAUUGGCUAUGAGGGAGCUGGAUACAGUCUGGCUGCUCUUCCUAAUUGAAAAGUGAAGGCCAUUUGCCCACAGCAAGGUCUCUGUCCUGGGAGUGUGAAGACAUUCAUGGAAGCAAAACAUAUCUGGGUCACUGCUGAGUCUUGGGUGUUGCACAGACACCUGGACCCUGGAAGAGGCAUCCCCAGAUGCCGUGGGUGACAUGGUUGAAAGAAAAACUACAGUCCAUUUUUGAGGAUGGUCAGUAUGUUAUCAAUGAGAUCCCAGUUGGUUCAGAUAUAUCAAAUUUGGGGAUAAUAUAGAGCUGUAACAACUAGUCAUGUCCAUGAAACUGUGCAACACCAGCGGGGCCCAAGAGUCUGGGACAGGGCCAUGGAGAUAUUUGUGCCACCCUUUCUAAUGGUUUUCUUAAAUGUUGGUGGAAAUCUGGAAACCUUGUGAAGUUUUGAAUGCAUGAGCAUGAUGGACCCAAAGCCCAAUAUCUGGGGAGCCAGAUGCAUGAUGUGUGGCAUUCUGGCAAACCUCUGAGCUGUGGUGGUGGACAGCAUUAAUCUGUCUAUAUUCCAGCCGAAUGUAGUGGCAGCCACAACCUGCGUCCCCAGCUAGUCUCUGCACUGUGUCAUAAGUGAUGGGUAUGUGCGAGCCUAGAGUUUGCCACUCGCAGACCUAUAGCUCAAGAUGUGCAUAUCCAUCCAGAUGUGGAGAGUGGGACCGUGGCCUGUGACGAGAGCUGUGGGCAUCGUCAAUUUGCAGGAAUGGAAUACAGUCUAUGGGAGAUGUGCCCAAGCCUGGGACUAUGGAAUUCUAUGAGGAGCUCAGGAGCUGAGGCACACAAUGCUGUCAUGUUCAUGACUGGAGGGUAACACCGGGUGUCCCCCAAGAGCCUGUGUGGGAAAGGCAAGGUCUAGACAGCUUCAAGCCUCAGCUGGUGUGGAGCUUGCCUGGUGCCUACCCUUUCGGCUCAUACCAGUAGGGAAAGGUGCCUUUGACACGACAGGAUGUUGCCCAGGCAUCUUUGAUGCCACAUCCAUGUGAAGUAUGGGCAUGCUGUGAGGAGGCAAAUGAAUGAACUAGAAUCCAUGAGAUACUGGCAUGCAGGCUACAAGAUUCCAGCUAUGCCUGGCAAUGGAGCCAAAUUUGUGUGGGGAGUUUUCCUUCACUCACUGUUCCCACACAGGACUCUUUGGAAUUGGGACCGCAUCAACAUGGCCUAUUAGGGCGUGUCAAAUAGUAUGAUAAUUCUUGUGAUCUGAGGCACUAACUUUGCCCGCUGUUAUAAAGUCAACAGAGACCUUGUGUCCUGGCAGUGGUUCCUAUCCUAUAGUUAGCGACCCUCCAAACAUCCACCGGCACAAAAGAAAUUUCUGCUAGGAGUCAUAGCAGAACCAAAAUUACAAUUAGGAUCUGGAAAGGAAAAUAAUUUUUUGGUUGGUAGUCAACACAACCUGAGGAACUGUAUUAGAGGGUGCCAGGUGGUGGAGCUGUUGAAACCCACUCACUGCCUAUUGGCUGUGAGGAAAGUGGGUACAAUCUGGCCGCUCUUCCUAAUUGAAAAGUGAAGGCCAUUUGCCCACAGCAAGGUCUCUGUCCUGGGAGGGUGAAGACAUUCAUGGAAGAAGAACAUAUCUGGCUCACUGCUGAGUCUCUGGUGUUGCACAGGCACCUGGACCCUGGAAGAGGCAUCCCCAGAUGCCGUGGGUGACAUGGUUAAAGGAAAACUACAGUCCAUCUUUGAGGAUGGUCAGUAUGUUAUCAAUGAGAUCCCAGUUGGUUCAGAUUGAUCAAAUUUGGGGAUAAUAUAGAGCUGUAACAACUAGUCAUGUCCAUGAAACUGUGCAACACCAGCGGGGCCAAAGAGUCUGAGACAGGGCCAUGGGGAUAUAUUUGUGCCACCCUUUCUAAUGGUUUUCUUAAAUGUUGGUGGAAAUUAGGAAACCUUGUGAAGUUUUCAAUGUAUGGGCAUGAUGGACUCAAGCCCCUCAGCUGGGGGGCCAGGUGCACCUUGUGUGGCAUCCUGGGAAGCCUCUGAGCUGUGGUGGUGGACAGCAUAAAUUUGUCUUUGACACAGCCGAAUGUAGUGGCAGCCACAACAUGUGUCCCCAGCUAGUCUCUGCACUGUGUCUUAAGUGAUAGGUAUGUGGGAGCCUAGAGCUUGCCCCUUGCAGACCUAGCGCUCUAGAUAUGCAUAUUCAUCCAGAGGUGUAGAGUGGGACCCUGACCUCUGACAGGAGCUGUGGACAUUGUCACUUUGCUGGAAUGGAACACAGGCUAUGGGAAAUGUGGCCAAGUCUGGAAAUAUGGAAUUCUAUGAGGAGCUCAGGAGCUGAGGCACACAAUGCUCUCAUGUUUAAAAGUGGAGAGUAACAAUGGGUGUCCCCCAAGAGCCUGUAUGGGAAAGGCAAGGUCUAGAUAGCUUCAAGCCUCAGCUGGUGUGGGGACUGCAUGAUGCCCGCCCUUUCUGCUCAUCCCAGUGGGGAAGGGUGACUUUGGCAGGACAGGAUGUUGCCCAGGCGUCUUUGAUGCCACAUCCAUGUGAAGUAUGGGCAUGCUGUGAGGAGGCACAUGAAUGGACUAGAAUACAUGAAAUACUGGCAUACAGGCUACAAGAUUCCAGCUAUGCCUUGCAAUAUAGCCAAAUUUGCGUGGGGAGGUGUCGUUCAUAUACUGUUCCCACACAGGACUCUUUGGAAUGGGGACCACAUCAACUUGGCCUAUUAGGACAUGUACAACAGUAUGAUAAUUCAUGUGAUCUGAGACACUAACUUCGCCUGGGUUGUAAAUUCAACAGAGACCUUGUGUCCUGGCAAGGGUUCCUAUCCUGUAGUUAGCGACCCUCCAAAUGUCCACCGGCACAAAAGAAAUUUCUGCUAGGAGUCAUAGCAGAACCAAAAUUACAGUUAGGACCUGGAAAGGAAAAUAAUUUUUUGGUUGGUAGUCAACACAACCUGAGGAACUGUAUUAGAGGGUGCCAGGUGGUGGAGCUGUUGAAACCCAAUCACUGCCUAUUGGCUCUGCGGAAUGUGGGUACAGUCUUGCCGCUCUUCCUAAUUGAAAAGUGAAGGCCAUUUGCCCACAGCAAGGUCUCUGUCCAGUGUGGGUGGACACAUUCGUGGCAGAAGAACAUAUCUGGGUCACUGCUGAGUCUUGGGUGUUGCACAGGCACCUGGACCCUGGAAGAGGCAUCCCCUGAUGCUGUGGGUGACAUGGUUGAAAGAAAAACUACAGUCCAUCUUUGAGGAUGGUCAGUAUGUUAUCAAUGAGAUCCCAGUUGGUUCAGAUUGAUCAAAUUUGGGGAUAAUAUAGAGCUGUAACAACUAGUCAUGUCCACGAAACUGUGCAACACCAGCAGGGCCAAAUUGUCUGGGACAGGGCCAUGGGGAUAUAUUUGUGCCACCCUUUCUAAUGGUUUUCUUAAAUGUUGGUGGAAAUUAGGAAACCUUGUGAAGUUUUGAAUGCAUGAGCAUGAUGGACCCAAUGCCCUAUAGCUGAGGGGCCAGGUGCACCUUGUGUGGCAUCCUGGAAAACCUCUGAGCUGUGGUGAUUGACAGCAUUAAUCUGUCUUUGACCCAGCCGAAUGUAGUGGCAGCCACAACCUGCGUCCCCAGCUAGUCUCUGCACUGUGUUGUAAUUUAUGUGUAUGUGCCAGCCUAGAGCUUGCCCCUUGUGGACCUGAAGCUCAAGAUGUGCAUAUCCAUCCAGAUGUGGAGAGUGGGACUGUGGUCUGUGACGGGAGCUGUGGGCAUCGUCACUUUGCUGGAAUGGAGCAGAAGUUGUUGCAGAUGCAGCCAGGCCUGGUACUACGGAAUUCUAUGAGGAACUCAGGGUUGGGCCUCACUGCUCUCUUGUCUUGUGUACCUGGAGAAUAACACCGGGUAUCCCCCAAGAGCCUGUGUGGGAUAGGCAAGGUCUAGGCCGCUUCAAGCCUCAGCUGGUUUGGAGCCUGCUUGAUGCCUGCCCUUUCAACUCAUCCAAUUAGGGAAGUGUGACUCUGGUAUGAUAGGCCCUCACCAGGACAGGAUUUUGCCCAGGCGUUUUGACGCCACUUCCAUUUCAAUUAUGGGCUUGCUGUGAACAGGCAAUUGAAUGGACCAGAAUCCAUGAAAUACUGGCAUGCAGACUACAAGAUUCCAUCUAGGCCCAGCAAGUUAGAGAAAUUGGGGUGGGGAGGUUUUGUUCACUCACUGUUCCUGCACAGGACUCUUUGGCAUGCUGACCCCAUCAACUUGACCUAUUAGGGCGUGUCAAAUAGUGUGAGAAUUCAUGUGAUCUGGGGCGUUAACUUUGCCCGCUGUUGUAAAGACAACAGAGACCUUGUCUCGUGGCAGUGGUUCUCAUCCCAGUGGUUGCGACCCUCCCAAAGACCACCUGUAAAAAACACAUUCCUGCUGGGACUCAUAGCAGGAGCAAAAUUACUGUUAGGAUUUUGCAAGUACAAUAAUGUUACAGGUUGUGGUCAACACAAAAUGCGGAACUGUAUUACUGCUGCCAGGUGGGGGAGCUGUUGAAACCCACACUGCCUUUUGGAUGCAUGGAAGAUGGGUAGUGUCUGGCCACUCUUCCCAAUUGAAAGGUGAAGGCCAUUUGCCCACAGCAAGGUCUCUGUACUGGGUGGUUGGGUACAUUGUUGGGGGCUGAUCAUAUCUGGGUCACUGCUGAGUCUUGGGUGUUACACAGGCUCAUGGACCCUGGAAAAGGCAUCUCCAGAUUCCGUGGGUGACUUUUGUGAAAUAAAGCUACAGACCUUCUACAAGGAUGGUCUGACUGCGAGCAAGAGGAUCCCAGUUGGUUCAGAUUGAUCAGAUUUGGGGAUAAUAUAGAGCUGUAAAAACUAGUCAGGUCCACGAAACUGUGUAACACCAGCAGGGCCAAAGAGUCGGGGACAGGGCCAUGGAGAUAUAUUUGUGGCACCCUUUCUAAUGGUCUUUGUAAAUCGUUGGUGGAAAUUAGGAAACACUGUCAAGUUGACAGCAUUAAUCUGUCUAUGUCGCAGCUGAAUGUAAUGGCAGGCACAACUUGUGUCCCCAGCUAGUCUCUGCACUGGGUCGUAAGUGAUGGGUAUGUGCCAGCCUAGAGCUUGCCCCUUACUGAAUGAGAGCUCAAGGUGUGCAUAUCCAUCCAGAUGUGGAAAGUGGGACCAUGGACUGUGACGAGAGCUGUGGGCAUCUUCACUUUGCUGGAAUGGAACACAGGCUAUGGGAGAUGUGGCCAAGCCUGGGACUAUGGAAUUCUAUGAGGAGCUCAGGAGCUGAGGCACACAAUGCUCUCAUGUUUAUAAGUGGAGAGUAACAAUGGGUGUCCCCCAAGAGCCUGUGUGGGAAAGGCAAGGUCUAGACCGCUUCACGCCUCAGCUGGUGUGGAGCCUGCAUGAUGGCCGCCCUUUCUGCUCAUCCCAGUAGGGAAGGGUGACUUUCUCAGGACAGGAUGUUGCCCAGGGUUUUUGAUGACACAUCCAUGUGCAGUAUGUACAUGUGGUGAGCAGCAAGUGAAUGGACCAGAAUCCAUGAAAUACUGGCAUGCAGACUACAAGAUUCCAGCUACACCUUGCAAUGUAGCCCAAUUGGGGUGGGGAGGUGUCGUGUCGUUCACUCACUGUUCCCACACAGAACUCUUUGUAAAAUGGGACCCCAUCAACUUGGCCUAUUAGGGUGUGUCAAAUAUUGUGAGAAUUCAUGUGAUCUGGGGCACUAACUUUGCCCACUGUUGUAAAGUCAACAGAGACCUUGUCUUGUAGCAGUGGUUCUCAUCCCGGGGUUCAGUUUUUGACCAUAGGUCUUCGGAUUGUGUAUUUGUGUUACUGCAUUGUCUUUUUUAAUGCUUUUUGUGCCCCUUUCCUCUAUGGGCUCGUGUACCUCAAGACUAACACUAGUGGAAAAUUGCCUCUGAAAUCAUGUCUUUGUUCCUACUAUGCUGCAUUUAUCAGAAUCUAUGGGAUCCCAGCCAGUCCUGUAAUUAUAGAAUUCAUGAGAAUUUGAUAUUUGGGAACUUCACAUAUUGGAAUGUUGCAUAUGCAUCACGUUGCUAUCUGUGCCUAAGUAUUUGGGGAUAUUUAGUUUUAAUGCAGCUAUGCCCCAGUCAAUAAAUUGGGCUGGUUUGUGGCUGUAUGAUCCCAGCCUUAUCUGCAAAUUUUUAGUCACCAGGAUGUGAUGAAUCACAGGGUUUUUGCCCAUAGAAGGAUAAUGGCCAUCUUGUUGGAAAGCAGAAUACUGGAUCAGUCUCAUUGUCUAGUGUGCAGUGUGCAAGAUACCAAUUAAUCAUAGGUUUGUAAGGAUUGGGCAGUUUCAUAAGAGUAUGUUUCUCACUUUGUUGUGGUAGGGUUCUGAUUGCUACAUUAUCUAUGCCUGGGAUUAUGAAGGGCAGGGGCAUUCUGGGUUCAGGAGCACUUACCUGACUCAACUGGUGUAUAAGCUGUGAGAUCCAGAGUAGGACUGGGAUUUUUAGGCCAAAUGGGUGGGUGAACAUCUGGGUCACUCUGCAGGCUGGCAAGGUGCCAGGCAGCAUGGUCCAUGCUCAGACUUGUACGUGCUCAAUUGUGGUAGCUGAUUAUUUGGUGUCCAUAGCUAGGUCUUUUUUGUUAGUUAGCAUUUGCUUGGUUUCUGUGAAGUUAUUUUUCAAGUAUGUGCCAGUUAUUUUCCAGGUUUUUUCCCCUCGAUACUAGGAUUAAGUGUUUUCUAGUUUGUUUCAGGUUUGUGUGUUUUUCAAUGAUAAAUUCUUGAACAAUUGGUAUCUUUCAUGUUCAUGUUCUUCCCUUCAUUGUCUGGUCUAACAAUAAGAAAUUUCAGCUAUGUGACAAUGAUUACCUGUUUGGUGUUUAAUGUUUCCUAUGCCAUGUCUUUCAUAGGCAUUGCUGUUCUGAUAUCCAUAACCCCUUUAUGUCUUUUCUACUCUAGUUUUAAAUAGAAAGCUUUCCAUUUGAUAUUCUCCACAUUAAUCCCUGUAUUAAUCAUAAUAGUCUCUGCAUUUUAUGAUUCCAGCUCUUUCUACUUUGAUCAUUCAAAAGUGUUCUGUAUCUCGUUUUUAUCUAGUUACCUGUGCUCUGGUGAGGAGGCAAAUCUUUAAACUCAGCCACUCCCAAAGAAAACAUGUCAUGUAGGUUUCAAAGGAAGUUUGCCAUUUCUGUAUCUUCUUCAUCAUCAUUUAUUCUAGCCAUGAAGGGAUUAUUGCAUUUAUAUGUCUUCCAUAGCUGGAUUUAUUUUGGCAACACAGCAGUCUUCAAUAUCUAUGUCUUCUCGAGUUAUAGCUGCCUUCAAAUCAUAAUAUCUAUUCCAUAUUCUUUUUUUGGUUUUCAAAACAGGUUUUCUCCGUGUAGCUUUGGAGCCUAUCCUGGCACUCGCUCUGUAGACCAGGCUGGCCUUAAACUCACAGAUAUCCAUCUGCCUCUACCUCCUGAGUUCUGGGAUUAAAGGUGUGCACCACCAAUGCCCAGCCUACUCUAUAUUCUUGUCUUUUCCAGGUAUAUUCUUUGAUAGCUUCUGAAAUUUUCAAUUUCCAUAUAUUUCAAAGCCAUAUUUUUGUCAAGUAUUUCCCCACCACAGUAAUAAAUGAUGAUAAAAAUGGCUAUCAUUUUCCUAUCUGCUUCAUGAAAUGUACUCUUCAUGCUAUAUUUUCUACCAUACAUAGUUUUAUUAGGAAAUAAGCUUUCUAUCUUAUGUCUUUACUAACAUAUCUCUUUAAUGCAUUGACAAAGUUUUUCUUAUCAAUUUAUUAUUCAAAAUGAGCACCCAUAAAAGAUAGAAUUCAAUUGUCGGUCUUGGAUAAUCAUUAAAUAUUUUGGUUGCAAAGAGAACAUCUAGUAUGACUUAUUCACUUAUAAGGGUUUUUUAAAUCACAUUAUAAUUUUCCAUGCCUAUAUGUUUCUAACUCGCAACUACUCUGGCAAUACUCUGGAAUUCUUUGCAGUCACAUCCUCCCUUUUACUUUAGUACUGUAAUAUGUCAUCCAUCACUAUGUCUUUCCCUAGAUAUAGAUGCUGUUGACAAGAAAGUGAUGCUCAACUUCUAUGUCAUCUCAUUCAGUGCAGGGUUGUAGUUGUGAAAUGCUUUCCAAAUCCAUUUCAUCAUGAGUUAAAGUUGCUUGGUAAUGCAAGAAGUUUUCCAUUACCAUGUCUUCCCAAUCCAUAUCCACCCUACUUAAGGAAAUUUUCCUGCUUCUCCUCUUCUAUAGGCUCAACCGAGUUGGUCAGAAAAAAAGUUUCUAUCACUGGCUAAGAAAUAAGUCCUUCACCUUCAUGAUUUUUCCAGGUGCAUCUACUUUGAUAAUGUAAGAAGUCACUCCUUGCUCAUGCCUUUAAAAGUCUUUCUGCUCUGGUUAUGAGCUUGGCUUUAAAUGCUAUAUGUUGUAGCUCCCUCUAUAAAAAAACAUAUACCUUCUUGUUUUCACAAACUACAGCUGUCUUUGUUACAUAAUUAUAUUUUCUGCUAUCAUGACUUCUCAAUUCAUGGCAGCUUUGAUCAUGAGAGCAGACUUUCCACAGCACAUUCUUUGCUGUUUUGGAUUUUAGGAAACCUUCUAACUCCAUUCCUGUCCAGAAAUACCUAUUUUUGUCACAUUCUAGUUUUGGUUUCCUCAGUUUCUGCAUGCACAGUUACUUUGUCAAGUAAACAAUGUGCCUAAAUCUAGGAUUUCUCCUGCUGCAUUUGCUGUCCAUGUGAAUGAAAUCUGUUUUAGUGACCACAGAAGGUUCCUCUUUCCUCUUUGGCCAUUUCUUCUCUGACCACUGAAGAGUUUUCUGAUUGUAUGUCUUAUGUGACCACAGCAGUUCUUUGUGUAUUUAUAUUGAGAUAUAAUCUCAUCAGUCAGUGUGAUCUUGAAUUCACUAUCCUCCCACAGUGCUAGCUAGCAUCUCUUUGAUAAGUGUAUCUGAGCUUUACAACACCCACAUAGUUAAUAAAUCUCUACAGAAAUAUGAAUCAAUAGAUGUAUUAUCUUACAUGCUUGCUUUUUGUGACAAAAUCAGCUAAAAUCCACUUAUUCAAUAAAAACCCUAAAUACAAUAUGUUGCCAUACAUCAUGUCUCUAUACUUGCUCCUCCUACACACCUGCUAUAUCAGGAUUCCUUUAGAACCGUUCCCUCCUCUUCAACACAGUGAAAGUUCCCUUGCAGAACCAAGUGUGAUUCCAUCCUGCUACCUCCCACAGUUCCAGCUUCACCCAUGUCUUGACAGUGUAUAGGGAAACAUAUAAAGAAUAUGUUAAUCUCUCCAUCCCUAGCUUAGGUGAUAAUUAAAUACUGAGGCUAGUUCAAGACUAAAUAAAUCUCCAGUACAGUGACAAAUCUACGUGUAUAGCUUGAGGUAUUAAGAAGUGCCCCCAUCUACUUUCAGAAAAACUUAAGUAAUAUGAACUUAGCAAUAUGUAUGUUUCAAAAUUAAGAUAAGCCAAAGAGUGAUCACCUGAUAGAGGAGAUUGUCCAUCAUGCCAGUAUUUUAUCUGCAUGUGAUGAAGACAAGGAAUAAGCACUAUUGAGACUUCACUGUGCCUAAGCCCUGUAUAGGAAUACUGUGGUGAGGUACACAGGGUAUAGAAGAUAGUUUGUGCUUUUGAUUUCUACUAUGUACUCUAUGUCUACCUCUGCUUCUUUGUGUGAAAAAAAUGUUUAGAGUUGAUGAAAGGGAGUCAGCUAUGGAAGGCAGAGAUACAUAGUUAAAGCCCAAAUCUAUCUAUGAAUAAAGUGUGUGACCUUGGAAAAGUUAAAAAAAGAAUAUGCUAAUUAGUACACAGUUCUAGGCAACAACUGUCAAGUAGAUAAGCCCACUUUGUUCUCUUCUGUAUAGUUUUGCAUUUCUACCUAUGCCUAUUUAUGUGAAUGUAUUCCAUUUUCAUGCUGUAUGUUUUGGCUUUUUACUCUGUAUCCCAACUGAGUCCAACCUGAGAAAGAGGCUAUAAGUGUAGCACGGAGAACAUAUUGUAAUUAUGGUAAGACAAUGGCCAAUACAUGAACUAUUCUGUAAAAGGUGAAUAGAUCAAAGAAGCAACCACUGAAACACACCCUAAAACAUCAGGAACUCAUUAGAGUGCAGUGAGGCUUUCUACGGGCAAAGAUAAUUUCUGCCUAAGAUAAAGGAUCUGGGGUUGUCUGUUUGUCUCAACUCAGCCCCUUCAUCAGACCAAACAUACCAAGAAAACUCAGGCUUGUAACUUGUAAAAAGUAACUUGUGGUUGAAAUACUCUUUUCAUAUGAAUACCAUGAGUGCUGGGCUUGGUGGUAUACUUCUGAAAUCCUAGCACUAAAAAGACCAAAGCAAUAGGAUUACAGCCCACUAUGGGUUGCAUGAUAAGAACCUGUUUUAAAAUGACUAAUAUUAUUAUUUUUACUCAUACAUGCUCUUCUUUUUUUGGAAUAUCCCUGGGUUUCUGAACUCCAUUUGGCUCAACAUCAUGUCUUCUUAUACUCAACUGAGGAACACCUUUGGACAUUUGUAUCUGGAUUUUCUUCAGGCUUAGUGUUUGGCACUCCUUAUGUAGACCUCUACACCCUAAUUACAGGUGUUUUUAACCAGAAAUGCCAUCCAUUAGCUCUAUCAAGAGGAACAGCCAGUCAACAUGCCACCACAUUUCAACAACCUGCCUAGGAACUUGUCACAAGCUCAAGUCCCAAGAUCAUCUGGCUAUCAAGACUCACUCCUUCAUAUUUCCACAAAUGUUAGUUUGGCUGUGCUUGCAGUCCAUGCUACUUGGGUGGCUGAGAUGAGAGAAUUACUUGAGUCAAAUAACCAAAUUUACUAUCCUAAACAACACAGUAUGACCCCAUCUCAAAUAAAAAACCAACCAAACACCAGGAAAGAAAUCCAUAGACUUUCUAGUGAGCUUGCUGAGGAAAACGACUGUAUUGUUAAAUGUUAAGGGAUCUUGCCUUUACUGUAUUAUAUUGAUGGUUUUUUAUUAUUUAAGCUACAAAAAUAUUCAUUCUGAAUAAUACACAUUCUUGAGUGAACUUUUGGAAUGGGUGAGAUACUUAUAUGUAUACAUGUGAUGAGAUAAUAUUUGUGGCAUUUUAGACUGAUAUUGUUAUUUGUAGUUUACUCAUGGUGCAUUGUUUAUUUUUUCAUUAAAUUAUGUAAGAUUGAAGGAUUAGAAUUCACAAAUCAGAUGGUAAAUUAAAAGCUACUUCUGAGCCAGCAGAUAAAAAUUUUAUGAUAAAAACAUAAUAAAUGCUAUUUAUAUACAUUAAAGACUAAAAAGCAUAAAAAGGCAAAGUUUGAAUUUCUCUACUAUGAAGGAGCCAGGUCCACCAGAAAUCAGUUGUGGUAUUCCUCCCACUGACUGACAUCAGCUGUAGCUGCCAGCCUUGUGUUCUCACACCAUGAAAGCCCAGAAGAGAAGGCCUGGGCUAUGUAAACACAACCAGAUGGAUAAAAAUUACAUAUGUAGAACAGGCUGUGAGUAGUAGAAAUGUGGUUUGAAAAUCUGAAGAUCACUACCCAUUAAUAAAUGGCACAAUUUAUCAAGAAGAUUACAAUAUUAUUAACAUUUAUGCACUGUACAAUCAAGUGGGAGAUUUCAAUACUCUCAUCUUUAGACACAUAUUUCAAACUAAAAAUCAACAAACAGCUUAAGUAAAUAACACCAUAGAGCAUUUUUUCAUUAUUUAUCAACCACAUUUCCACUCCCUCCUCUUCUGCUCUCUCGCCCCACAUCCCCCUACCCCUUUCCCAUCCACUCCUCUUCAGUCUCCACUCAGAUGGGGUAAGGCUUCCCAUGGGAAUCAACAAAGCAUGGCAUAUUAAGCUGAAGCAGGACUAAGCUCCUCCCUGCUGCAUCAAGGCUGAACAAGGCAUCUGCUAGGGACCCAAAAGAGAUCAAGCUACACAACUGUCACCCAGAUGCAGAGGCAUAGGCCAUUCCCAUGCCACCUCCCUAGCUGUCUAUCCAGUCUGUGAGAUUCCACAAGGUCAGAUCAGCUGUCUCAAGCAAUUGCAUUUAACAAAUACAACGUAUUCCAUUCAGCUAAUAGAGAAUGCACAUUAUUCUCAACAGCACAUGGGGCUUUCUCUAAAACCAUUUACAUUAUAGGACGCAAACCAAAGAAUCAAAUUCCUUACAUUUUAUCAGAUAAUAGAAGAAUAAAAGAAGCAACACAAAUAUUUAAUACUGAGCAGUUACAUUUUUAAAUGAACAGAGGGGCAUUGAGGAAAUCAAGGAAAGUUUUUUAAAUCCUGUAAACAAAUGAAAAUUAUGAUACAACCUAUCAAAACUUAUGGGAUACAAAAAGACACAAGAGGAGGGUUUAUAGCUACAAGUGCUUACAUUAAAAAUUCAAUGAGAUUACAAAUAAAUAACCUAAUUGUAUACCUCAAGGUUCUAGAAAAAGAAGUCAAACUCAGGUCAUAUGAAUGUCAAGAAGCAGAGACUAAUAAUGCACAGAGUCAAUCAAACAGAAAGUUAGUUAUUUGACAAGUGAAAGAUUAGCAAUCUAAUGAAAAAUAGAUAAUAUCCAAGAAAGAAAAUGUAGACGUGCAAAAGGAGCUAUUGCAGCAGACUCUAAUAAAAUCCAGAGGGACAUUAGGGAAUACAUAGAAACCUUAUAUUCUAAAAAGCUAGAAAGCUGGGGCUGGAGAUGUAGCUCAGUGGCAGAGUGCGUCUCUGGCAUAUUCAAGGCCCUGGAUUUGAUUCCUUGCACUGUCAAAAAACCAAAAUGCUAGAAAAUUUUUUAAAAAUGGAUAUAGUCCUAAACCCACAUAACCUGUCAACAUGAAUUCAAGCAGAUAUGAAUAACUUCAAGAGAUACAAAAUAAGCAAUGAUAUUGAAGUCCCACAUGGACGAAUUCACUACUGAAUUCUAAAAAAAUCUUUAAUAAGUCUAGCAUCAAAACUUUUUAAACAUUUUCAUAAAGAAGAAAUGGAGGCGACACCAUUAAACUUAUUCUGUGAUGCUGGUAUUAUCAUGAUACCACAUUUCCCUGGUGAACAGAUAUAAGAAUUUUCAAAAUACUUGUAAACAAAAUUCAUUAACACACUAAGAACAAAAUACCACCACCAAAUUGGUUUUAUACCAAGGAUGCAAGUUUGGCUUAAAGCACACAAAUCAGUAAAUAUAAUGCACUAUAUUAAUAGACGUAAGUACAGGAUCACAUGAGAAUUUCUAUAGAUAGAGGAAAGUCAUUUUCAAAGUUCAACAUAUGCUCAUGAUAAAAUGUCAUGAAGAAUUUAGUAAUUGAAGGGACAUAUUUCAACAUAAAAAGGCUACAUAUGACAAAUCCAUAGCUAACAUUAUAUUAAAUGGGGACAAACCAAGAGCACUUCUAAAAUCUGGAACAAGACAAGGGUGCCUACUCUUAACCACUUUCAUAGAACACAGUGUUUGAAGCCUUAGAGCAGUAAGACAAGAGAGAGAAAAGGGGGAUAUAAAUAGGAAAAGAAGUCAAAUCAAAUUAUCCUUAUUUGCAAAAUGACAUGACCUUCUACUUUAAAAGACUCUUAAUACCACAACCAAAAUCUCUUAGAUGUAACACAUUCAGUACUUGUUAGAAUACAAAAUGAUGUAGUCACUGAAAAAAUUAUGGUGAUUCCUUGAAAUAUUUCUUAAAGUUAUAUAAUCUAGCAAUUCUAUUUGUGGAUAUUCACUCAGGAAGAUUGAAAACAGGUUAUUCAAGAGAAAUCUGCAUAUCUUUAGUCAAAGCUUUUCUUCACAACAGUAUGAAGGUAGAAAUAACUCAAGCAUCUAUCAGUGGAAGAAUAGAUAAAUGUGGCAAAAAUAUGCAGUAGAAUCUUAUUUAUACUUUCAAAAAGAGGGCCAACUUGUAGAUGCUACAAUAUGAAUAAACUUUGCAGAUACUGUGGUAAAGGAAAUAAGUCAACCACAAAAGGUACAGACAACAUUAUUUCACUAAGAUGAAUGUCCAAAGUAGUCAAAUCAUAGAAAAGUAUUAAUGGUGAUUACCAGGGUCAUUGUCUUAGACAGUGUUCUAUUGAUCUGAAGAGACACCGCGACCAUGGCAACUCUUAUAAAGAAAACCAUUUAACUAGGGCUGGCUUGCAGUUUCAGAGGUUUAGUCCAUUAUCAUAAUGAUAGGGAAUAUGCCAAGAAGUGUUUGGCCUGGCAGUAUGAAGGCAGAUAUGGUGCUGAAGAGAUGCUGAGAAUUCUACAUCUAGAUCCAAAGGCGGAAGGAAGAGAGACAGAGACACUGCCUGGCUUGGGCCAUUGAAAACCUAAAGCCCACCCCUCAGUGACAUGCUUCCUCCAACAAGGCCACACUUACUCCAACAAGGCCAUAACUCAAAAUCUCUCUCAAGUAGUGUUACUCCCUAACGACCAAGCAUUCAAAUAUAUGAGCCUAUGGGGGCCAUUCUUUUUCAAACCACUGCAUUAAUGGUGAUGGAGAAAAGGACUUUUGUUUUUUUCAUUCUCCUCAUCCUCACUGUUCUCAUUACUUUUACUUGUUUUUAUAUAUUUACUUUUGCAACAUGAAGAAAUUCUAUAGAUCCAUUUUAAUAUAAUGUGAAUAUAGUUAACAUUACUGUUAUACAUUUUAAAGUGAUAAAGAUGUUUUAUAGACACAUUAAAUUUGUCACUGGCCCUAAAAUGGAAGUGAUUGGAAAAAUGAAUUAAAAUUCAAACUACAUUGUUGUAUGACUUUUCCUGUGGGGGAGGUAUAAAGAAAUGACUAUUCAUUCCACAUAGAGCAUUAAAUACAAACUAAAAACCUAAAUCUACCUAAGUUUAGCUUGGUGCAUCAGUGGGUUUAUUGGAGUUACUUAUGGGAACACGGGGGAUUGGGCAGCUGCGUCAUCAAAAAAGUCCAAUCCAAACAUGAGUGACCACUGCAUGGGUGAUUUUGGCAGCUGAUUCACAGAAUAAUCAACUCCAGCAUGUGUGACCACUCACAGAUGCUGCAUAACUGGAGUUUUGCCUCUAGUCAUCCUUCUGCUUCCUAUAUUCUCUGUAACUUCCCAAGACCACAUAUAGACGAGAGGUUAAGGUGUGGUGACCUUCCUUCUAAGAGUUAAUGUUAAUAAUCCAAUUAUAACAGUUAUUAACCUAGCUACUAACGUGUUGUUUUGCUUAUUUUAGUACUGGAAAAUUACUGUGGAAUUAAGGUAUUCUAUAGGUCAUAAAACCACCCUAGUUUCAUGAUGGUUAUGGUCAUGAUGUACUUGUAGAAAACAGCUAUACCAUACACAUGUCCUGUAUUGAGAUAUAAUUGACAAAUAAAAGUUUAAUAUAUUUA
Mesocricetus auratus (golden hamster) is the source of this 49902-nucleotide long non-coding RNA. RefSeq lists it as uncharacterized. The record is from RefSeq and is a predicted model, not a curated record. The transcript has 6 exons. Lineage: Eukaryota; Metazoa; Chordata; Mammalia; Rodentia; Cricetidae.